RNAcentral lists this long non-coding RNA (50619 nucleotides) under Cucumis sativus (cucumber). RNAcentral's name for it is "long non-coding RNA (CSAT_LNC001695)". Lineage: Eukaryota; Viridiplantae; Streptophyta; Magnoliopsida; Cucurbitales; Cucurbitaceae. The record is from RNAcentral.
GCAAACAUAUUAAAGAGAUGGAUUAAUUUUACUACAGUAUCAUGGAUGAACCAAAAGAAACCUCUUUUAAAGUUAUCAAGUUCUGUUGGCUAAAAUUUCUAAUUGCACGCGCAAAUAGUAGGUAAAAACCAAAACCUAAAUGCAUAAAAAAAACAUUUCUUAUUCCCAACAUGCAAAUAAUACUUUCUAUUGCUUCUUCAAAUGCAACAUUUCAGCAUGUAAAAAUGGAAACUAUCUACCCUUCCAAAAAAAUAGAAAAAACAAACAAACAAACAUCAAACCGUUAGCUGGCCAUGUAUAACUAAAAAAUUAUAUCUCCAUUUUCCAGGUGAACGAAGCAAGUUCGAAAAUAGCCAGUAGAAUCAAUUAGGUUAAAAUAAUAUUUAGGUACACCCAACAUAUCUUUAAAAUAUUUGAAGUUUCGACUCACGAAAUAAUAAUUUUCAGUAGAAAAGGUGUCGUACGAAUAAUGUUUGGCAAAUUUUUAGGUAAAAGGCUUAGGGGACUAAAUAUUCUUAGCAAAAUUUAAACAUAGAUAAACUUUGGGGACUAAUUUUGAGGUGGACAGAAAGUUCAAGGGUCAAAUUUGGACAUUUAGAAAUAGAGGAGACGCAAAAUGAUAUUUUAGCCAAAUAGAUUUCAUCAAACCAAGAAAUGUAAAGAAGACAGCUUAAUGUGAAACAGGUUGUGAAGGUAUACCUUCUCUCCCACGAUCAUCAAUUCUUGUCCUCAAUACUUUUCUCCUCUUGGGUGAAGCCGGAGUAGCAUCGACCGGAUUUUCUACCUUAAUAGAGUCAUUUUCAUGGGCACAAACUUCAUUUUUCUCAGUGGAGCAAUUAUGUUGUUUUUCUUCUACUAAAGAUUGCUCUAGUUCACUUGUCUUUUCCUCCUUGAUUUUCAGCUUUCCAUUUAGUUGUUCGUCAUUGUUCAAAUGAGCUUUCCCUUUAGGCAGUUCUGUGUGUUGCUUCAGAUCUAGACAUGAUUGAUCCUUUGGGUUUUCAGGUGAUGCCAAACUGACUGCAUCUUCAAAUUCUUCAUCAUCUGAGAAAUCAAAAACAACCCUCCUUUUUCUUCCGCUUUCAUUCGAACUUCUUUUGAUAUUUACAUCUUGCUCAUCGUCAUCACUGUUUUCAAUCUGGAGUGCUUCAUGAGCGCAAAUUUGUGCCUCUGCACUAGAUACUGCAACAGAAACCCAAGGUUAGAAAGGAAAGGUCAGUACUGUAUACAGAGCUUACUUCCAGUUCCAAUCUUUUCUGUCAAUGCAUUAAGAAUGUCAUUCUAAAUUAACAUAUUUCAUAAUCAGUCCUCAAGAAAUUUGAAUGAAAUCAACCAGGAGGCAUAACCAACCAGUAGGAUUUGCUGCAGUAGCACGAUUUGCAUCUGCAUGAUCGUCACCAAGCUUAGACUUGGUAGGGACACGUCCCCAUAAAUUUGCUAAUGAGCUUCCAGUACUGGAACAGGUUUUAUCACCUUGACCUUUCUUCUUAUUAGUAGGUAAGGAAGCAACUUUUUCUUUUACUGCAAUAGGCUUGGAGGCUUGAUGGUCUGUACGGUUGCCUUCACUUUUGACUUCUUUGACAACAGUGGAACUUUGUAGGCCAACAUUAGGACUAACUUUUGGCAUUUCACUUUUUUGAGGUUGUAGAACAGUAGUAUUUUGAUAACUUGUCAUCUUUUUGCUCGAUUCUAAAUCUACUGCACUUUUUGGCUGAGAAGCUGCAACGCUUGCAGGUAUCUCAUCAACAUUGCGCUUGACGUAGGAAUUGGAAAUCCCACAGAACCUAAAAUAGAACCACAGGAAAAGAAGCAAAUGAGUUCCCAAUGCUAUUGCACUGGAGAAAAUAAAAAGCCAAACAAGAAUCUGGCAAAUGAACUAGUAUUAAUUGAAUAGUAGCACAAAUCAUAGCUGCAAAGAGAGAAAGAAAAAAACAUUAGUAUUACGUCAUGAGAAAGUGUAUUGCUACAUCUUGUACUAAGUUCAAUACUAUGGAUUUCGUCAGGAGGUUUAUGUGAGCUGCUGUGUAGUCUCUACUCUAUAAGGAUCCAGAUCAUUCAAUCUCUACUGAGAAAAAUAAAUUCUGCCCUUGCAAACUCAUACCCAUCACGAAGAAAUGCUUACAAUAAAAACACAAAACAAAAUGAUAAUAAACCAUCCAAGUGCAAAAUUUAACUGGCCAAAUGCACAAAACCUGUUAUCUCGCAAACAGUUGUCAGCAGUGAAGGGCUGCUUGAAGAGCUCUUCUGCCUGAACAAAUUCAGCAUUCCAAAGUGCAGCUGGAUCCUUUGGAAUGGAAGCUUGAACACUAUAAACUUGAAUAGAGCAGGUGCCAUCAAAAUCUUGCUUUGCUUCUGGUCAAAAGUUAAAAGAAAAAAUAGAAGCCGCUAAGUCUCUUGAGUACAGUUAUUAUUCAUUGAAUAACAAGAUGGAGAUAUGAGUUCUCAAGAAUGGUAUGAUAAACACUACACCGAGUAUUAUCCAAAUUCUUUUAUCAAUAAAACAGAGAAACAUCAUGGCAUGUGGAAAAACAAGAAUCAAAUUAGAAGCUAACCAGGAAGUUUUGAGCCAGAAACCAGCCUAAUAUGGUAACUUGGAGGAUCCUUCUUCAACCAUCCGGAUAAGGCAUAGACCACUUGUAAUCCACUUUCAUGUUUUUCAACAAAUUCUUGAAGCAACCUACAUAACAACUUUACAUUAAAAACAUUGAACGGCGACCAACUAGUCAUGAGCAAUUUUUCUAUGUCAACUUGCCAUGUUCCUAACCUCUUGGCAGUAUCUGAAGAUAUCAAAUAACUUCGACUCAGCCACUUGUAGGAAACCUGAAAAAUGUUGAACAAAAUUAGCAGGUGUUGGAUUGCUAAAAUUUAAAUCUAUUACUGAUUCUAAAUUACAAUUUUUGAAAAUGGAAGCCAAAGAAAAGUACAUAAAAACAAGGGAAAUGAACAAUGAUCAAAUAAAACUGAUGCAAAACUCCUUAGUUAGCUUUGGCCUAGUCAUUCCUUGGAAGCAAAACCUGAAUAGAUCAUUUGACCCUGAAUAACUUGGCAUCUUUAAAUAUUUACGUUAUAGAUGGUUGUGAGAAGGACGAACGAGGCAGCCACUCAUGCAGACUGAUUGAAACCAUAAAAUAAAUAAAUAAAUAAAACCCAAAAAAAUCUUCCUUUUCCCCAAGUACGAUCGUCAGUACCCAAAAACAUACAAUACAGAAAAUUCAGCUAAGAUAACUAACAACAUUUUCGGUGAUAAGCCUCCACCUACAAACAAUAACAAAGGGCAACAUCUGACAAUGAGAGAACAAAUUACAGUUUUCUUAAAAACACUACACGAGAGACAUAAACUAAUUUUCCAGAGAAACAUAAGUCGUUCAAAACUAUAAACAACUCGGCAGCAAAACUAGGGCUAAAGCGCCACUAACCCAUUCCCGAUAAGUACCUCAAUCGACUUUAACUAAACAUUUCUAAGAAAGUAAUUCACAAAAUUAGAGUAAUAGAGGGGCUCUAGAUUGAAACAUGAUACAAAAUAGUGACGAAUGAGGAAAACAGAAAUGGAAGGAGGUGGUUACCACUUGAAGCUUAUCGGCGACGAGGGAUUCAAUGUCUUGGAGAAUACCUAGGGUUUCGAUUUCAGCCAUUUGUGUUGAGAUCGGAAGACGACGGAGAACAAAGGGGGAAGAUGAAGCGCGAGAUAGAGCGAGGAAUAUCAACGAUUUUCCCUCCUCGGCUGCUCACUCUUUCCCGCCAUUUCCAAUACAUUUAUAUGAAAGAAUAAAACAAAUUCCUCAACUCUUUUUCUCCCAAUUUCAAUUUUCUUUUCCUUAGAAAGUUAGAUAAGUUCUCUUGGAUCACAAAAUCAAACUUCUAAUUCUAAUUCAUAUAUUUAUUGACUAAAAAAACUAUAGUUUUCUCGUUCAAUUCAACUCAUUAACCAAUCUCCUUCGACAGUAGUAUCUACUUUUCUUUAGAUUUCAAAACGUCUAAUGUCAAUUUGGUCCUUAAAUUACUAUAAGUUACGAUUUCAUUCGUAAUUAACUAAUGGUCUUUCUUUUCUGUUAAUUUAAAAAAAAGAUUAUAAGAUAGCUUAUUAAAAAUGUUUUACCAAUAAAAAGUAACUAGUAGAAAAUCAAAUACUAAAGACUAGCAAAAAUAAAACUUUGAAUCCUAUGGUUAUCUAAAGAUUAAACUCAAAUCACACCGACAAAAUGUAACAGUUUGAAACAAGUAUACCAAAUAAAAACCAAAUUCAAAAUUUAAAGUACCUCGAUACCAACAAAACUAAAAAACCAACACAAUUUAUUUAUUUAUUUUUAUUAAUUGCUUUAAUUUUCCUUUUAAUUUUAGAAAAUAAGCUAACUAUUAAACUAUUUUCAAAUUGACAUAAAAGAAGCUUAAAUAAAAGACGACUAGCACAUUUGUAUUAUUAAUGCUAUUUGAGCCAGUCUCAACAAUUAUUCAAAGAGUAGAAACUAAGAUGGUGGGAUACAUUCUAGAAGUUACAUAUGGUCAAUUUUCUAAUUUUCUCUCCAUCGAAAAUAAUGACUUAUUAGUGUAAUAGUACAACAAUUCAAUUCCACGAGAUGGCAGUUGUGUAUUGGAUCAUGUAACCAAAGAUUUUCUAUGCGAAUAUGUAAACUUCAUCAAAUCCCUUCCUACAUUUUGCACAUUAAGACGAAAAAAAGAGAAAGUUAGUAAUCAAGUGAUUAAAGGAAAUAAUAACAUUAAGGUAAGAUCUUAUGAAUAAUUUGGAGUUACCCAGCCUUGCCGCCAAAAGUUGGGCUAUAGUUGUAGAUGAGAUUUUCAAUGACCUUUUGUGCAGGUGGUUUGUUCAAUGAUUUCCUGGCCUCACUAUAGACACAAACAUUGAAGCACUUAAAAGCAAGCUCAAGAAGCAAUAACCCGCAAUCCCGAUUAAAUUAGUAGAUAAAACACCGAUUAUAAUUACAGAGAUUGAUGGUCUGACUUCCUAUACCACAAUUGUUGAACUAAAAAUCUCCACACGUAACAAUCUACACUAUGAUUCUAAUUACAUGCUCAUGCAAAAUGGCAAAAAGACAAAAGUUUCAAUCGAUAGGAGAAACAAAAAUUAAUCUCGAAGAUGAAGACAAAAUACAGCCUAAAGGUCAGGGACCAAAUACUCCACAAAAAUGGAACAUAAAAUAUUUAGGUCCAAUUUGGUAACGGUUUUGUUUUUUAAAAUUAGGCCUAUUUUCUCUCCAUAUCUUACAAUAAUUUUGUAUCAUUUUUAAAUACAAUGGUUGAAUUCUUAGUUAAAUUUUAAAAACAAAACAAAAUUUUGAAAGCUACACUUUUUUGUUAUCAAAUUUUGACAUUGUUUUUUAAACUAUUUCGUAGAGAAAAGAUAGGGUUUAUAGAUUUAAUUUCCAAAAACAAAAAUGGUUACAGCAAACAAAAUUUAGAUAUAUGCUCUAACCUGACUAAGUAGUUGGCAACAUGUUGUGUCACUUCAACCGCAUGCUCUGUGUGCGGAAUCACGGAGUAGCCCCACUCAAAUGCGUUUUUCUGCAAUGCAAGUAUGUAAUUUCAGGCGCUUGAUUGAUUUAUACAUCAACAAAGAUCAAAUGACAAGGUUAUCAAACGCCAAUGCAUGUAGAUUUCGCUAUGGAAAGGCAGGGGAUCCUACAAGUUUUUGUUAUCACCUGUGCACAAGGUGGAGAUUUUUUAAUUUAAUGUAUCGAUGAAAAGGCUAAAUUACUUCUUUUGUUGAGGGGGAGAGUAUUCCAUUCAUGUGGCAACUGGAUGUUUAGCAAUGAUCCCUGUCUAGUCCACCUUGCCACACACCUCAUGAUUAAUCACUUGCGCAACUACUUAUAAUAUCUUUAAAGAGUUUUCUUCCAUGGUUCCAGAGCCCUCAGUGUUGAAUUUGAUUACAAUACAAUCAAGUAUAUAAUAUACAAAAUAAGCUACAGAAAGUUCCAAUACUAGAUGAAAGGAAUAAAGUGAAUAAUAACCUCUGGAUGCCAUUGAAAUGCAGUCACAGGAUAAUGCCAAGCUUGUACAGAGGAGACAUAGACCUGUAAUAACCAUAAACAUAGCUGUAGGUUCAACUAAAAUGUAGAGGUAGAGGAGCAAUUGAGAGAAACUUUACAGAACGUCAAUACCUUAUUGUCUUUGUCACUACUAGUUGUCAAUAUCUGAAAAAAUUUGGUCAAUUCUUCAUUUUGUGCAAAUGUCUCUGGCGAGAUACCAAACUGUAAGGAAAACAAGACCAAUAUUGGUACACUGAUCUACAAUCUGAGUAACAAAGGCCAAAUCUGAAGUCCUUAAACCCUACAUUGCAAUAUGGUUCGUGAAUACAAAUUGCAGUUGAGCAUGUAUGCUUACAGAAACAUAAAACUUGCCUUGGAUAUCAGAGUGAAAUCUUAGAAAGUUGAGAUGAACAAGACAAAGAAAACAUUUUUCGGAUGAAGAAUUAAGCUGGAUUCAAAUUAUUAAUUCUUCUAAGGGACCGUGUUAUUUAAAUUUGAAUCUAAACAUUCACGAUACGCAAAAUUAUUAACAAUAGCAAUAGGAUUAACCUAAACCCUUGCAAGAUUAACCAAUUCGAAAAUCUGAAAUCUCAACUAGCGUCAAAAGAAGCCAAAUUCCAUGCAGAAGCAAAUUGAUUUAGAUAUUGACAAUUCAUGUUGAUUCAAAUGGAAAAUUAAACCAGAAAUCCCCUAAAACAUGAAUACACAUUUCCCAGUACAUCUAUAAAUUGAAGAAAAUAAAUAGUUCUUUUCAAAUUUAAAAUCAUGAACAAUUGAGUGAUGUGUAAAAAGAAAGACCCAACAUGAAAAUAGCUUAGAGAAUGAGACAUUUGUACUACUCGCAGGAAGUGUAGGCCCAAACCCCUCCCACAAUGUAAUAAUCUAAAAGAUAAAUAAUGUUAAAGUUCCAUGGCAUGCAUAAAUUUAUGCAGAGAAACUAUUCAUCUACCAUCAAUCAAACCAAAAAGAACUUACAUAAUGGUUUUGGAAAACAAUACAAUCUGUACUCAAUUUCUCCAGUAAAUAAUGUGGAAAUCUACAGAUAAGAUCACAAAUUGUAAGCCUCAGGAUAAGCAACCAGUAAAUAAUGUGGAAAUCUACAGAUAAUAUCAGAAAUUGUAAGCCUCAGGAUAAGCAACUAAACAGCCUUAUAAUAAAUAGUAGUACUGAUUAUACAACUUCCUAAAAGAAAAAUAUUUACUGUCUAACAAAAACCUGAUUUAAAUUGAUGGGUCUCAGAAAAGUUGGCAGUUGAGACAAACAUUUAAUAAACCCAUAAAUACAUUUACAAAACAUUGGAUGCUGUUGGCAAAUAUGCAGGCAUGAUAAAUGAAUAUUUAGGAUAAAACCUUAACAUUUAGCAAUAAUCAGUAUUCUAAAUGGUUAUGGAAAACAUUUUAGAGAAGGUAUAAACAAUCUGUUAAUUUCUGAACUCCCAAGUGCGUGUUACAGAACCCUCCUUCCCAAGGAUAAAAUAUUUCAUAACAAUAACACAACCUGCAAAGAAUAUUGCAUACUGGUAAAGUAACAUUGGCUGAGUAGGUGAGCAUCGCUACCAUGCCUUGUCUACAUUAUAGAUUUAAACUACGACUCACCGACUCCAACUUUGAGAUACAUUUGGCGAUGUAAGUAUGAAAGAUGUGCAACUCUAAGCAGGCAAGCAAACCUUGAAGAAAAUAAUACAUGACCAACAAACUGAACAGUUCAAAUGCUAUCUAGUUUCCAGAUGGUAGCUGCCUUACAACUGUACAAUUGGUGAGGGAAUGUACCUUGUAUCUUGUCAGACUCAAAAGAUUUGAAAAUUUCUCUAAUUGGAAGAAACAACCACGAAUGGUGAUACAUACCUUUGGAAGACUGUUCCUUGAAUAUUUACAUUGUCCACAAAUUGAAGUGUGGAUGCCAUAUACGAUGCAUUAAAUGGUUCAAGAAUGUUCCUAUUCUGUAAAUUAACAAGAUACGAACUUUAGGUGCAAAAUAUUUACUCAAUUUUAAUGGUAACUAAAAGCAAUUUUGGUUGAAAAUGAUUUUAUUCUCCACCAAACAACUAAGGGAUCCAAAAGAAGGAUUGCAGAAUCCUUCAGUCAUUGACAGGAAAUGCAAAGAGGGGAAACACUAUUCUGUCCCUAUGUCCCAUCCAUCAUUUAGUUCUCGAGAUCAUUUGUAUUUUCUUUUUUAAUUAGAGUUGCAUCCAUGAAACACUCCUCUUGCAGGAAGUCGAGCUAAUCGAAACUGUGCAUGACAUAGGAACUACUGUACUAAAUAUGGUAGAAUUUAAAAAUAAUCAAUUUUUACCAAUAAAGCAGUGGAUGCAUAUAACAAAUGGUCAAAGAAAUAUUGUAAUUGCUUAAAUACAUGAGGAUAGUUUUUGCCCCGUCAGUGAUCACUACCACAAAAUUUGAAGAGAUGAAUGGAUAACCUUGCUGAUGAUCAUGCUUAAGAUUUCAAAACCCAAGCAAACGCCAUAUAAAGGGAAACGAUCUCCAGCAUCAUUCCUCUCCAAAAUUUUCUACAAAAACAGAACAAUAAGUUAUCAAAACAAUUUUCAACUUCGGCUCAAAGCAGUGCAUCAUUAGUAGUAUAGUUGUCCUAGGAGUAAAUCACUUCCGAAACACUAGAUUCCCAGAUUAAAGAUGUCUGCACCAGAGCUUGAAUUUUUUACUUUGGACUUUGCAUAAUUAAUUAUCAUUAGGAAAAAAGGGCUUCAAUAAUUAAAAGGUUAAAUUAUAAGAAGUACCACAAACUUUUUCCUUUGUUUCAAAAAAGAUCCAUAUACUUCCUAAGGUUGCAAUAUUACUCUUGACCUUCCACCAUAAACAUUAAAACUACCUUUGAUAUAUAAAUCUUUUAGAACUAUGAAUGGAAAUUGUGAUCUAAAAUUGUGUUAUCGUGACUUACAUCGAAAAUUUGGAUGGUCACGCAUUUUCAGGUUGCCACCAUCCCGUUCCAAACCCCAUUUUAUGUCUAAGAUUCUAAAUGAUUUUACUCCAUCUUAGUUUAUAAAGUUAAUGGAAGUUCAACAGUAAUAUUGACUUUCAAAAGUAUAGGUGUACCUUUGGAACAAGGGUAUUUUGCAUAAUUUAGCCUAAUCAAAAUUAAAAGUCUAACAUAAGCGCACUCACUCGGAUAGCGAACAGGGCAUAUAGUUGAUUCAUGCCUAGUUUCCAUGGGCUGAUUAUUAGUCAUAAAACUCAGAGCAAUUAAGAUAUAAGUAAUUAUACUUUUAGAUAGAAGGCUUGAAUCAAUACUCCUACUAUUAUCCUGCUAUCUUAAAAAGGAAACUUAUGUUCAUCCGAGAUACUGAUUAUGUUGUGAUAUGCAAGAGCUUUUAAUGGAAAAACGCUAUUAACAGUAUAAUUAUCUUUGAGGACGGGAAAACCUCAAAAAUCUUCUGAGCAACGGAAUAGUAUAGACCCUCUUUAGCCCAUCCUCCUGUGAAGAGCACUCCAUUCACCAAACUAAGCUUCUGCAACAAUUCCAUAAGUACUUUAAUUAAGCUCGAUCAUCCAUCCCCUAUAAAAAAUCGAAAAAACAAAAGUUACAAAGUUCUUAACCCUUUUUCAAUACCUCGAAAAUAACCUCAAGCGGCUCGGUAUAUAUAAGCGGAAUAACUCUUGCUCCAGCCGAUUCGACAAACUUGACAUACGAAGCAGCUAUAUAAGACGCAUUCGUCGCGUUGCUUAAUCUGCCGGAAGCACCAUCGCCAGGGUGGCUAAGGAUUCCGAUCACCGGCCGGUAAUUCAACCUCGGAUCCAUUGCUGUACAAGAAGGCGACGAGUCAAGGACAGAUUGAGACGGGAGGAGGAUGUUGGGGUAGGGAUGAACUGCGCGAACGAGGCUAAAUUCGAGUGAUAUUAUGAAUAGGAAGAAAAGCCAUGUGUAUUUGAAGAGGGAAACAGAAGACGGAGAAAAAGGGGAAGGAGAAGAGAAGUGGAAGCGGCGGUUGGGGUGUUCAGAAAUGGUGGGCUUGAAGCCAACCACUUUUUUGAACAUUAUGAAGGGAGUUGUUCAAGUAAAGUGUGAGAGCGAGGAAGUGGGAGUAAAGGACAGAGAGAAGGAGAGGAUGAAGAAUGCCAUUGAUGAAUUCAUGAAAGCUUAUUAUAUUGGUGAAGUGUUGAAGAUGAUGACUCUGAUCAGUGAAAGCGAAAAACGUUCUCUCUCUCUCAUUGGUUCGUAAUAUUUAAUGGAUUUUUUGUUUUUAAAAAUGUAAUUUUGUUCAUUUUCGUGCACGUUUUUAUUUAUUAAAAUACAAACUUCACUCUCUAAAUUAUCAAAUUUGUAACAUUUUGUCUAAGGGUUCAAAAUUUGAUAAUUAAAUUGUUACACAUCAAACUUUAUAAACGAAAUCGUUACAAGAUAUAAAAUUAAAAAGCUUAUUUGGUUACCCAUCAAAAUUCAAAAAACUAAAUUAUUAUUUUUAUAAAAGUUAAAGAAUUAAUCAAAAUUCAAAAAACUAAAUUAUUAUUUUUAUAAAAGUUAAGUUUUUAACUUUUUCUUUUAUCUUUUAUAAUUUUGAUAACAUCCUAUAAAGUAAAAAAAAAUCUAUAUUAUUGAACUUUAUCUUUAAAGUUAAUUAAUUUUUAAUAUUUAUAGGUAGCUUACUAAUUACUCUAUUUCUAAAUCUUAUUUAGACCCGUGGAGGAAUGAUUAUCUUAUAAAUUAUUAAUUUUUAAAACUUGUGACUUAUAAAUUAUUUUGAUUUAACUAUAAAUUUUUUUAUCAAUACAAAUUUUCUAGAUCCACCGCUAAUCUAUAUUUGUACGAACUAUUUAGAUAGUUAUAUAUAUAUAUACACAAAAAUGAUGUUUCAAGUAAAUUAUAAUUCUCUACUACUCAUAUACAAUUUUUGAAGUUUUAACUCAUUUUAAAUAUAAAUUCAUUUUAGCUGAAUAUUUUGAUCUUACCACAAACUUUUAUAUAGAAAAAGAAAAGGUGACAACAUUUUUUAACUUUUUAGUAGAUAUUUUGUUUAUUCUUUCUUUUUUUAUUCAAUUAACCAAUUAUCAUGUUAGGAAUUUCAAAAUAAAAUUAAAGUUAAAAAUGAAAUGGUAGAAUCUCACUUUCCAUUGGGACCGAUGCUAUCCGUUCGAAACUUGAGAAAAUAUAUAAGAAAAACAAAAUACCAAAAUAACUAACUUUAAAUAACAAAUUUUUUAAAUAUUUAUAAAUAUAAUAAAAUAUCAUCAAUUUUUUUUAACAUGAACUAAACGAGUAUAUUUUGUUUAUUGAAGUUUGAAUACUAAAUGGUUACGUUUUAUAAGAUGGAUGGAAAUUGAACCUCUCAUCUCAAUGUUGUAUCAAUUACUAUCAAGCUAGGUUAAUUUUUCAAGUCUAAAAAUGAUGUUAUUUUCAUUGUAUUGAUUGUCUUGGAUUCGAUGGAGUAUUUGUUGUGGUCCUUUACCGUCUUGUCUACCAUGCCUAAUUAUUUUUGUAGCCUCACAAUUAGAAGACGUGCUUUAGUUUUUUUGCAAACUAAAAACAUGCUUUAAUACUAACUACUGUAAACCAUUCUUAUAUUUAUGUAGCAAACAAAUAAUAAAAUGAACAAUUUUAGUAUAAACUCGAGCCUACUAAACUAAAGUCAUAUAUUAGCAAAAUUAUUGUAUUAUCCAAACUAAAAUGAAAUUAAGUAAAUAUAGUUAUACGACACCUUGCUUUAAAAUCAUAUUAAAAUUUAAGAGAAAACAUAUAUAUAUAUAUAUAUAUAUAUAUUGAUAGAAACUAAUUCAUGCACAGCGGAAAAAGAAUCGAAUUUCUACCCUAUAUUGCCACAAUUAACCUCUAAACCAUAAACUAAUCAAAUUAGGGUUUUAAGAAGUAUUACCUUUGAAGCUUUCAAAAGGUUUGAUGUCUUCUUACCAAUUCUACCCGAGACCACCACUAGUACUCAACUGCUAUCCUCUAGACAAAGAACCGGGUUGUGGGACCCAAUUUUGGUGUAGAAAGUAAUGGAGAUAAAAUGAGAUUGGAAGCUUUCUUUUUUCUUUUGUUGAGAUUAUGAAAAUGAUAAAAGAGGCAAAAGUCCUUCAACAUUUGAAAACAUCUCUAUUUAUAGCCUAAUUACAUGCAAAAAUGCAUGCAAUUCAAUUGCCAAAUCUCAACACCUAAUAUUCCACUAACAAUUAGUGGAACUUAGUGGGCUAGGUGUCUAUAUCUCAUAUAGCCACAUAUCCCACUAAGAGUUAGUGGGAUUAUCCAACAAAAUGUUGGAUUUUCCCACUAACUUAGUCCAAGGGUAAAAUGGUCAUUAGAUUUUUCUAGUCAAAAGUCAAACUUUGACUUUUCUAAGUCAAAAGUCAAUAUUUUGACUUUUUACCAUUUUGUCCGUCUUGACUAAUUCCAACCUCCCGAGCAUGAAUCCGCAUUCAUUUUUCCAAAAUUCAAAUCACAUUUGAAUAUAAGGCCGGUCAAAGUUUGACUUUUCAAAGUCAAAAGUCAACAUUUUGACUUUUUACUAUUUUUGACCAAUUCCGAGCUUCUUAGUAUGAAUCCGCAUUCAUACUUAUAGUAUGUAAAACAUAAAGCUCUAUUUCUAAUUAGAAGACCGACGACUAUAUCACUAUAUUUGUCGGUUUCCCUUUCUUCUCCCAAUUCGAACAAUUCGACUUAUUUCAUCACACUGUUCUAAGUUUAAUCCAUAUGAGCUAGCAGAGGAACCUAAUGGACCUAUAGAUCAUGGGCUCCAACGAUUCAAGAUUAACUAGCUAAACUCUUUUAAACCGAGUUAAUCAACAUUCGUUAACUAACGGGUCAUUCCACUAAAGUCCCGUAGUUGCACUCCCCUCACUAUAGAUAUAUUUGUGUCCAUUUGAUAAAACCAUAAUCAGUAAGUUAAUCCUUCACAGGUUGCUCGUAACCUUGGCUGGGUCAAAAUACCGUUUUACCCCCAAGAUUACAUCUUGCUCCUUAAGUCCCACUAAUCCACUAUUGAACAAUUGGUUUAAGGUUCAACCUAUAAACUUAAUCCCUCUCGGGCCAAUGAGAGGGUGGGGCCCCUUGUUCAAGACUUGGAUUCAGUGCUUAAGAGAGCAACCUAUCUACUAACCCUAAAGCGGGUAGGAGUGAAUUCCAUCUUGUACCCUAUGUUCCCAGCUAUCCACCCGAUCUUACCCCUGAAAUGGGAGGCUUAUUGGGCCAACGCUGAUGAGCUGCCCUCACCUAUGCAGAUCUAAGGAUAAUCUCGUAUGAACAGGAGUUCAUAGUUAACUCAGGAUUAAGACUAAGUUACCUAGGUCAUCAAUAAUUGAGAUAGUCAGUUUUAAACAGUAAACGGUGUUAUAACGUAAAAAUGACUAAUUCAUGGUUCAGUCUUAUGUAAACAUUUUACAUAGGAUGCCCCCACUUUCAUGUCUCUACAUGAACGAUUAGGAUCACCUCGUUUGUACUACAAAGUGGGCCGCAUCCAUAGUUUCUCUAAAUAAGGCGCCCAACCUUUAUUUCAUAUACUAUAGACUAUUUAGGCUAUAUACUCGAACUUGAUCCACGUUUAUGUUUACACAUAAAGUUCAAGUUUAUUCAAAAAAUAGCCUUGGAACUUGAUUUAUUGGAUUUAAGAUUAUAAUAUUUAAUUUCUCAAUAACAACUUUAUUGAACAGAAUAUGAUUUACAAACUACGAGUUUUAGGACAAAAAAUUCCAACAUAUAUAUAUAUAUAUAUAUAUAUAUAUAUAUGUUUAUUACGUUUAUUGUCUUAAACUUUGGAUUUAAUUUGUAUAUUGUUUAGGAAAAUUUUAGUUGCAAUUAAUAUUUUAAAAAUUGGUCUAAGUACUGUUAUUGACUAAAUGAAGUAUAUUUAGAUUGGUAAAUAUGGAGUAAGUAUCAAUCACGAGGGAUGGAAGAAUAAAAUUUUAAUUUUUUUUGUUGUAAUAACUAGUACAAUCUAAAUAUGAAAAUGGAGAAAAUAUAAAAUUAAAAUAAGAAAAUAAGAAGAAUCUCAAAUUUGUAUGCUUGCUUCAAUUUUUUGAAAUUUUGAUUUCUUAUGUGUUUCUUACAACUCCAUCAACUGCCACUAUUUAUAGGUAGUUUGGUAAACAUGGGAUGGGUUACAAUAUAACCACUAAUAUUGAGUAUUUUAUAAAUACACGACAUGAGUGUUGAUGAUUAAUGGAAUGACUCAUGAUGGAUACUGAGAGUCGGUUUGGUAAUGUUCUCGUUUCCCGUUUUCUGUUUCUGUUUUCAUGUUUUAAGAAACGGGGGUGUUUGGUAACUUUUUUUUGUUUCUUGAAUUCAAAAAAAGUAGAAACGUUUCUCAUUUUAUAAUGAAUUAUUAAAAACAAAAAAAAAGUAGUUUCUUCCGUUCCUGUUUCUCAAUUAUUUCUAUUGUUUAUUUUUUAUUUUUUCUCAAUUUUUUCUAUUGGUUUCUUUUUCCUUUUACUCAAAUCCUUUUUAUUGAUUUCCUUUUCUUUUAUCUCAAUUAUUUUUGUUGGUUUCAUUUUCCUUUUUAUCAAUUCUUUUUUUAUUUCAUUUUCAUUUUCCAUUUUUCUCUGGUGAUUUUCUUUUUCUCCCUCUUAUUUUCAUCUUCUUUCCCAAAUAACCACCCAUCACGUGGUUUCCUUUUUCUUCCUCUUAUCGUCUUCCUCUACACAACACCUUUCUCUUCGUUGGAUAUGAGUUUUCAUUUUUCUCUUUGCAUGAAUUGUGUUUUCGCUGAAUUUGUGGGUUUUUGCCGUGAAUUUUUGUCUUCCUCUUUGUCGUGGGUUUCAGUCCUCUUCGUCGUGAGUUUUUGUCUUCCUCUCGCCAGCUGUGUUCUUCAGAUCCCAAUCUUCAUCUUGUUCUUCAUAAGAUUACAAGAAAACUUUCCAAUCUAGGUUCGAUAAUUUUAAUUUUUUUGAUCUAAAAAAAGAAGGAACAGAAAACCAGAAACAUAGAAUAAGAAACAGGGAACAUGAACGUUACCAAAAGGACCCUAAGCUUAUAAGUAUCAGGACAUAUGGUUUGUUAGGUAAUAUUUAUAAUAAUUUUGAAAUUUUGGAAGUUUUGAAGGAUAUAAAAGAGGGAUUAAUUACUAAAAUAUUAUUAUUUCUAAAACUAUUUAUCAAAAUACUGUGGUUUCAAAACUAUUUACCAAAAUGUUGUUACUUUUUUCUCUCUCCUCGGGAGUCCAAUUCCUUCUUGUCAACCUCUUCUUGGGAGAGUUUUGCUUUUCUUUCUUUUCAUAUAAAUUUCAUUGUUUCUCUUUUUUUUUUCUUCAAUCAUUAGUAUACAUUUUUAUCCCCAUUCAUUUUUCUUCUUUUUUUUCUUAAAUAUAUUUUUCAUAUAAUUUUUUUAAAUCUUUUUCUUAAAGUUUUCAUAUGAUUUUUAAGUUAUUUUUUUCUAUAUUUAAAUAAUUGGUAAAAUAAAUUAACAAAGACAAGAAAAUGUUAAUAUUUUUUUUUAAUUUUCAUUAAAAUCUAUUAGGAUGCUCUAAACAAAAUUAAAAUUUCUUUUUAAAAAAAUAUCAAAUUUCAAGAAUGUAUUUUUUGUAUAAUUUAAAAAACACAAAUAAUAAUGUUAAUAAAUAUUUUUUCUUAAAAUUCAAAAUUUUAAGAGUAGAAGAGUAGAAUAAUGGUAUAGCUCGAAAAAAUAAAUACCUCAUAAACGAAUACAACAAAUAAUAAUGUUAAUAAUUCUUAUAGAAUUUCGUUAAAAUCGUUUGGUAUUCUAAACCGUAACAUAUUGAAAAUCUCCCCUUCUAAGUUUUUAAAUUUUAAUUACUAAACAAAAUUUUAGUAAUUAAUCCAUAAAAAUAAAAGAGUAUGCAAACAAAAAAUGUGACAUGAUCCGUACAUUGUUUUUAUUUAUCUUCAUUGGGUUGCGUUAUUGCUCUGUCGUUAUUGUUCCUUUCUUUCUACAAUCAUUCCCCUUCCUCCAUCCCUCUUUUAUCUUUUUCUUUGCCUUCACAACAUAAAAUAAAUAUAUUUUCAAAUACAUAUACUAAACAUUAACAAUAUCUUUAUCUUUUAUAUCUUUGAUAUAUUAAAAGGGACCAUCUAACUUUUUACAUUACUCAUAACUUAUAUAUCACCAUCUUUUCAUUAGCAAAAGUUAUUUUAGAAGGUAGAUUAUAAUUAUGUAGGAGAGAUUAUAUUUGGUUAAGAGGAUUGAGUUGGUAAGUGUUAUAAAAGAGAAAUUGUGAGGGUUGACGUGAAAUAAUGAGAUAUAACAUAUUUAUGUAAAAAAAAUUUAUUCACCCAACCCAACCUAAUUCGGAGGCGAGAUAUCUCUCAAGACAAAAAACGAUAGAAACAUAUGAUAAGAUUAGAAGGUAGGUGAGUGAGGUAGAAGUUAGAAUAAAGAAAACAGUUUUGGAAUUUCGCGUUUCUCAUUUUAUUUAUAAUUUAGAUAGUGAAGUUAAUUAUUACAACAUUACUCCUCAUGAAGAAGACAUAGAUGGAAAUUCCAAAUGGUAAGAAAGAGAGGAUGCAGUAAGGCAAGGCAUUGCACAUCUACUGAAAAAGAUAAACUUGAUCAUAUCCCUUCCUGCAGUCACAAUAAUUCACAUACACAUAUUAACUUAAAUUAACAAAAGCAACAAAAUAAUUUUAAGGAAAGAAAAGGCCGAGGGAAGGUUAAUAAAGAAAUGGUAUUUACCCAGCCUUGCCAUUGUAAAUAGGGGUGUAAUUGUAGAUUAGUUUCUCAAGAACCUUUUCUUUUGGUGGUUGGUUUGUCGAUCUCCUUGCCUCACUGCAUUAUUAGUUCAACCAACAUACACCUGAGUACACUAAUUAUAUAUAUAACCCUUCUUUUCUUUUCUUAUCUUUAUUAUUAUUAAUAUCAGUGAUAUAUAUAUAUAUAUAUAUGGCCUAUUUUCAAAUAUAUAUAUCAAAAUAAAUCUAACCUGACCAAGUGAUGAGCUAUAUGGUGUGUCAAUUCAAUGGCAUAUUCUGUGUGUGGGAUUGAAGAAAUACCCCAUUCAUAUGAGUUUUUCUGCAACAUUAUAUUCAUAUAUUUUGUUAAGUGUAAAUAUUAAUAAACAUAUUUGUUAGAGUUGUUGUAUCAAUGGAGAAAAAUUAGUAUUAUUUAAAAGACAAAUUACCUCAGGAUUCCAUUGGAAGAUAGUUAUUGGAUAGUUUCGAGCAUUUGCAGUAGAAACAUAGACCUAAUUACAAUGAUACGACCACAAAUAAAUCAGUUUGAGUGUGUUCCAACUAUAUGAAGAUUAGUUUUAAUAGAGUUAAUUUGUACUAAACAUAAGUUUGAUUGUUUCUAAAAUCAAUUAAUUGUACCUAAAUCUUUGUUUUUAGAAUCACUACAAAAAAAACACUCUAAAACAGUUUAAAUAAGUAUGAUUCAAGUGGCAUGAAAUUUAUGAAAUGAUGUAUGUUAAAUUACCUUAUUGUCUUUGUCAACACUAGUUGUCAAGAUCUGAAAAAAGUCCGAUAACCUUUCAUCUUGUUCAAAUGUUUCAGGUGAAAUGCCAUACUAUAUUCAACAAAAUAAUUAAUAAUUACCAAAAUGUUAUAGAAGUCAUGAUACAAUAUAAUUAAAACGAUGACUAAAAAUAAAAUAAAAUGUAAAAGUACAGAUCUCGUUGGUAACUAUUUUGUUUUUGAAUUAAAAUUUAAGUUUACAAACACAUUCCCACUUCCAAACAAUUUUGGUGGGAGCUAAAUUUUGAAAACAAAAAAAUUUAUGUUUUGGAAAGUUGUUUUUAUUUUUAGAAUUUGACCGAGAAUUCAACCAUUGUACUUAAUAAAUAUGCAAAUCAUUGUAAGAGUAUAUGAAAAAAAAAAAUAGACUAAAAUUUUGAAGCAAAAAAAUACAAACGAAAUAGUUACCAAAUAGGAUCAUACAAAUAUGAAAAUUGGAAGACAAAAAAGAAAGCUCACAAAAGCAAAGAAAAAAGGGUUUGAAACUCACUCCAUGGUCUUCCCAUGUAAUGCAAUCUUCAGUGGCCCUUAUUCGUAAGGAGAGUGGAACUCUACCAAAGAAAUAACAUAUAGAUCAAACUCCACAUUGUUAUUCAUUAAUCAGUACUGUAGGAAAUAUUGUAUUUAAUUGUGAAUCUAAAAUUUAAAUAUGUACAAUAUCAAAUAAUAUCAAUAUCAAAUAUUAAGUGGGUAAGCAUUGCUCAACUUAUAACUUUAAAUAUGUACAAUAUCAAUAUCGAGAUGAUGAGACUAUAUAUAUGUUAUUAAAAAAUUCAAUGGUAAAUGUACCUUUCGAAGACAGUUCCUCUAAUAUUUGCGAAGUCGUUAAAUUUCAAAGCAGAUGGAAAGCGUGAGGCAUUAAAUGGUACUAUAAUGCCAUAUCUCUAUAAAGAAAACAAAAAUACAUUAUAUAUAUGAAAAAUACUAAGCAUAUUUCACAAAUUUUGACUAAGUAUACAGUUCAUAGAUCAUAGAGAAAUCUUGUCCUAAAACGAAUAGGUACAGCUCAAUUUGCAUUAAGAUGGGUAGGCACACUUUCGAUUUUGAACUCAAAACUACCAAGUCAUAAUUAAAAGCAGUACAUUACCUGGCUAACCAUUGCGCUAAUGAUCUGAAAACCUAAGGAAAUGCCAUACAAAGGGACAUGAUCCCCAUCCUCAUUCCUACUCAAUAUUUGCUGCACCCAAAAUUAAAUAAAAUUAUCAUUUAAAGGAAAAUUUCAGAUUCUAUAAACAAUAAAAUAUAUAUAUUAUAUGAAGGAUUUACCUUGAAAAUUUUCUCAGCCACUGAAUAAUAUAACCCAUCUCUAACUCUCCCUCCUGUGAAGAUCACUCCAUUCACCAAACCCAUUUUCUGCCAACCAAAAGAAAUUUUGUUCUUAAAAGAUCAUAUUAUUAAUUCAUAAUUAAUCAAGUUUUAAAUUUCUUCAACAGUAUUGAUUUCUUUUAAAAAAAAGUUGGAAUAAUUAAGGUAAUAUCUCCAACCUCUCUUCCACUUAAUUAUGCUUGGAUUAGCUAAUAAUCAUCGUUAAAUUAGUUUAAUUUUUUUCGAUCUGCACGUUGUUGUCAAUUCUUUGAAGGUUACUUGAAAGGUCUCGUAUCCUAUCAAUGACGAUGAAUUGUCUUAUUCAUAUAUAUAUGGUACGUAUGGUUUGUGUCCCAACAAAAUUAGUCAAGAUUUUGAUGGAUUUUAGUUCAACGAGGGAUCUCUUAUAGAUAAAUUUCCUUACAAUGGUCAAUGGUUUGAUUUCAUUUGGGUGAGAUGACAGUGUAGUGGAUAUAAUUCGUGUCAGCACAAAAUCAUUACUUUAUUACCUCUUCGAGAACCUCAGGUGGGUCGUUAUAGAUAAGAGGAAUAACUCUAGCACCGGCGGAUUCGAUGAACUUGACGUACGAGGCCGGAAUGUAGGACGCAUUGCUGGCAUUAGUGUGCCUACCGGAGGCGCCAUCACCAGGAUGAGAAAGGAUUCCGAUCACCGGUCGGUAGUGGAGCAAGGGAUUGACUUUGGUACAAGUACGCAAUUGGAGGUUAUCUGAUCUCUCAUUGUUCUGGAGUUCAGAAGGUAAGAAAAUGUUGUUAGAGAGAGGAUUGUGAGUGAUGGCUUUAACGAGACCGAUCUGGAAGAAGGAGAAGAUUAAGAGGGAAAUACAGAGGAGAUGGGAGAGAGCUGAAUUGAACAUUGUGAAAAGAAACAAUGAAGAGAAUUAAAAUAGAUCAAGAAGAAGAAGAUGAUGAAAUAAAGAAAGAUAUUGGUUGAAUUUAUAGACAGUUUUUCUUUUCGUUUUUGUAGAUUUGUUUGAUAUUAUUAGAUUUAUUUAUCAUCAUUUUUCUUGGGCCUAUGUCUUUUUUGAGAGAAACUUUCUAUAUAUCAGAAACAAAAUGCUUUGUGGAUAGAACUCCGUUGCAUGCAGUGUUGUUUUGAAAGCUAAUUAAACACAAAAUCCUAAUUAUGAAUAUUCUAAGUCAGGAGGGUUAUUAGGAUGGGUGCUGCUUUGGGAGCACCAAGGUCGAGUUCGGGUUGCUGCCUGCUCAAAGUUCAUGAGAUUAAGGUUCUUCAACCAAUAGCUAAUACUGUUGGUCUUGAAAUGGAAAGGAUUUUAACAAUGGAUAGGUGAUGUAAAUGUGUAUCAGUUGAUAAAAAAUAUGAAAUAAGACUGAAAUAGUUGAUGAACUGUUGUCAAUGAACUCACAUAGAGUUUGAAUUUAUUUUCAAAAAGAUUCAAACACAUAUUAAGAGGAAGUCGGAUUUUAUUCAAGUUUUUAUUAUAACUUAAAAGAGUUGUUUUAGUGAUAAGUUGCUCACUUUCUAAACUUUAAUAAUAUUUCUUAUAUGAGUUAAGAAGCUAUCCGAUCCUCCGGAUGUAGAUGAUAUUUACCAAACUGGGUUAACAAAGCUGUUAUUUUGCUCUUCCUUAGUUAUUCUUUUAGUUAGCUACUUUCCACAUAGCUAAAAGAUAUAAUUGAUCGUCUCAUUUAUUUCAAAAUACAUUGAAAAAAAAAAAACUCAUUUGUUUUUGUUUUCUAAAACAAUUUUCGAAUCAUGAAUCAAACAAUAAUAUUUUGUUUAUUUCGCGAGGUUUUUAAUACAAGAAUUGUGGAGAUGAAGAUAAAAUCUCUCACUCCAUAUGUCAUAUCAAUUAUUACCGAACAACUAAGCUCAUUUUCAUCCUCAGAAACACAGAUAUUUUCAUUGCUUUGAUUGUCUUGGAUUAUUUGUUCGUCGUGGACCAUUUUUUUGUUUCCUUACUGUAUGAUAAAAAACGUGCUUUAAUACUAACGUACCUUCAGACCAUUUUUAUAUUUAUGUUGCAAACAAACAAACAAAAUAAUUUCUUUUAGUAUAAACUUCAUCGUACUAAACUAAAGUCAUAUGUUAGCAAAAUCAUUGUGUUAAUUGAAAACUAAAUAUAGUUCUACGAAUUUAACUUUAUGUUUGCUUUAAAAUCAUGAUGGAUCUCAAAUUAAAAUUUAGGAUCUAGAAACAUAUAUAAUAUUAUAUUUCAACACAUUACACUCGCUUAUCCUAAAAUUUGGAUCCUAAUUUAUAUAUUGUCUCUAAACUUGAAACACACAUCAUAUAAUUACUAUUGGUAAAGUACCACUAUUGACUAAAUGAAGUUAUACUUAGAUUGGUAAACAUGGAGUAAGUAUCAAUUAUGAGGGGAUGAAGAAUAAUAAAAUUUUAGUUUAGAAAAAUUGAAAGUUUGUAAGGCUAUAAGAACAAUGUAACAAAUUAAAAUGUGACAGAAUCCGUACCUUACUUUUAUUUCUCCUUUUACUGUUUCUCUUCAUUGCCUUCCAUUAUUGCUCUCUAUCCUUCUUACGUUCCUCUCUUUCUUCAAUCAUUACCCUUACUAAUUAAAUUGAAGUUAUUACUUAAUAAAAACAACUUUACAACAUACCAAAAUCUACUUAUUUAAUAAAAACAAAAUAAAGCAAUUAAAGAAAAGACAAUUAAGAGUUUUGCAAACUAUCAUAUAUAUAUAUAUAUGUAGCAUUAUUUUUUUUUAUAAAAAAUGCAAAUAUAGCAAAAUUUGUCAAAAUCUAUUAGUAAAUGAUAAAACUAAUUGAUCACAAGAGUCUAUUAACAAUACAUUUUGUUAUAUUUAUAAUUUAUUAAAAAUGUUGAUUAUGUGGAAAACAUUUUACUAAAACAGUUUAUGGUUGUAAAAGAAAUAUAGCUAAAUUUGUUAGUUUUAGCUUAUUUGUUAACUAGAGUUUUAACUAAAGUCUUUGGAAAGACUAUAAAUACAUAUAUCCUUUUGAAAUUCAUUAGAGAACUGAAAUAACAUCUUGCUCCUAAGCAUAGUGGACGUAGCCACUUGCUAAAUCACUUUAAAAUCAUGUGCUCAUCUUCUCCUUCUUCCUCUCAUCAUCUGCUCUCAUAUCACCAUCUUCUAAGAUCAAAGGCCAUUAGUAAAAACUCGAAAAACCAGAAAAAAAGAAAGAAAGAAGAAGAAAACUUGGAGAGCUUUUCUUAAUCUUAUGUAAUACAAAUUUACACACAAAAGGAAAAGAAAGGGGAAGGAAAAAGGAAAAGACAGUGGAGAAAGAGCCCACUGCGUUACAUGCAAAGAGUUGUCUUCUUUGUGUCCAUACACAUGGCUGCCCCUACAAAUUGGUAUCAGGGUAUGAGAAAGAUUCAAGAAAGCUUCAAGAAUCACAUUCUUGAUUCAAGAAACUCAAUGAUGGCAGUAGCAAGGUAUGAUAUUGAAAAGUUUGAUGGUAAGAGAGAUUUUACCUUAUGAAAAGCUAAGAUCAAAGCUAUAGUCGACCAACAAAAGGUUUGGGGGGGGGGGGGGGGGGGGGGGGGGGGGGAGGCUGAAGCUAAUGUCAGGUUUUUUAUGGUAAUGUUUAGACCAAAUUUGUCUCUUUUAUAUCAAGUUGUAGGUAACUAUUAUGUGCUCCAUUGUCACUGCUUUUUGUUUGUAUUGGGAGGAGGCUGGAAUGAAGGGUUGAGGGGAGGGGGAGGGGGUGAAGACUAAUACCAGAUUUUUUAUGGUACUGUUUAUAUUUUUGGUAUAAUGUAUUUGGAUUGUGUUUGUGUAUUUGGUACAUUAUGUUAUGGUAUUGACUGAAGACAUAUGUUCUGUAUAUGCCAUUUUCACUGCUUUUUUAUUGUGUUGAGAGGGGGCUGGAACGAAGGGUUGGGAGGGGGGCUGAAAAUUUUAUCACAGAAGUUUGGACACUCUAGUUAUUCUUCUAUAAUCUCAAUAUUGUUUUUUUUCAAUCUUACAUCAAUGAUAAUGUUCCUUAAUUGCCUUUAAAUAGCUUCAAGUAGAACCUCCUCAUAGGUAAUGUUCUUUAAUCAUACUCUAAAUAAGAUUUUGUUUUCUUACUAGGUUUGGAAGAAUCCAUUUGGAGCAUUGAAGCCAAUAUGGAGCAAUUCGUUGACAUAACAUCUUUUGUAUGGUUGGUAGCAAAUUCUUGCUUCCAAUGUAUUGAUUUUAGGUUUCUUGCUUCCAAUGUCAAUGUAUAUAUUUUUUUCCUAUGAAAAGUACAUUUGAACUAAACAAAUGGUUAUUAGUCAAUGGGUGUACGAAUACUACAAAGUGUAUCAUUAUGUAUAUAUAUAUAUUAAAGUGUUGACUUAUUGUUUUCAUAUGGGUGUGAUAUAUUAUUGUUAUUGUUAUUGAAGUUGUUAGUGUAAUAGUUCAGCGGCAAGAAAAACAGGAAUUGAGGAAUACACAAUAGGGAAAAAAUAUCAUAAUAUACAAAUUUGUAACAUUUUUUUUUCUGUCGUCAAUACCGAAACAAUGACAAUUAAAAUUUUAUAAAAACUGUCACUAUUGGUCUAUCCAUGACAUGAAAAAAAUGUCGUACUAUAUUAAUUCGUGACAUUUUCAUAACUGUCGUCAAUAUCGAAUCAAUGACAAUUAUAUUUUACAAAAAAAUGUCACGAUUGACAUAUUCUUGAUAGUAAAACAUGUCAUAAUAUAAGAAUUCGUGACAUUUUUGUAACUGUCGUAAAUGUGUAAAUGGUGACAAUUAUUUGUUGUCAUAAAAAAUGACAGUUAUUUGUUGUCAUAAAAUACUAAUUAAUUACAUUUAUUUUUUGUCAUGAAAACACAUAUUGUGACAGUUUUUUGGAACUGUCAUAGAUGGAUUUUUCACGACAUGCGAUAUUAUGACGGUAAAUAACUGUCACGAAUUUUUUCGCAACAGAAAAUAACUGUCAUCGUAGAUCAUUUUUCUUGUAGUGUAUUUUCUAACAUUUACUGAUGAUUACUCUAAAAAAAGUUGAGUUUAUUUCUUAAAGUCUAAAUACCAAACUCUAGGAAAAUUUAAAGAAUGGAAAACCAUGGUAGAAAAACGAACUUCUAAACAAGUUAAAUGUUUAAGAACUGAUAAUGGUUUAGAAUUUUAUAGUGAGGAAUUUAAUAACUUUUGUAAAGAACAUGGAAUAAUGAGCCAUAGGACUGUUAGAUAUACCCCUCAACAAAAUGAUGUUGCUGAAUGGUUAAAUAGAACCAUAAUGGAUAGGGUUAGAUGUCAAAUGUCUAGUGGUUUAAUUCUAGAAAAUUUUUGGGUAGAAUGUGUUUCCUAUACUGUUUACACCCUUAAUAGGUGCCCUCAUCACUCCAUAAACUUUCAUACAUCUGAACAAAAAUGGUAUAAACAUCCUUCUAAUUUACAAAACCUUAGAAUAUUUGGUUGUAUAGGAUUUUCCCAUCAAAGUCAGAGAAAAUUAAAACCUAAGAGCUAUAAAAUGUAUGUUCCUAGGUUUUAUAGAGGGAGUUAAGGUAUAGAGGGAGUUAAGGGGUUUAAAAUGUGACAUCCUAUAGAAAAAAGGUGUAUAACUAGUAGAGAUGUGGUUUUUAAGGAAAAUACUAUGUUUAUGCUUGAUAAACGUAUUGAAACACUUGAUUCAAGUUAUAAGUCAAAUGAGAUUGAGGUGGAGCAACCACCAAACAAUGAAUCAAAUAAACUUCCUAGUAUCAUUGAGGAAGAAAAAACAGAAUCAAUGAUCACUUUGCCACUUACUCUAGAAGUUACUCAAGAAGAAGAAGGUUUAUCAACCUAUUCUUUGGCUAGAGAUAGACAAAGAAGGACUACUAUUGUUCCUCCUUCUAGAUAUAGUGAAGCAAAUUUUGUAAAUUUUGUCAUAAAUGAUAUGAAUCAUCUAAAUGAUAAUGAACCAAAAACAUUUGAUGAGGCAGUGAGCUGCCCUAAUGCUAGACAUUGGAUAAAUGCCAUGAAUGAUGAAAUGGAAUCUCUCACUAUCAUACAUGGACUUUGGUGAUGCUACCUAAAAAUUGUACGACCAUAUCUUGCAAAUGGAUUUAUAAACUUAAAGAAGGAGUUCCCGAUCUUCAACAUCCUAGAUAUAAAGCUAGGCUUGUAGCCAAAGGCUUUACACAAAGGGAGGGAAUUGAAUACAAUAAAGUAUUCUCACUGGUUGUUAAACAAACCUCCAUAAGAAUGGUUUUUUCAUUAGUAGUUCAAGAAGAGAUUUAGAACUUGAACAACUUGAUGUUAAAACAUUAUUCCUACAUGGUGAUUUGAAUGAAGACAUAUACAUGAACCAACCACAAGGAUACACUGAAAAAGGUAAAGAAGAUCAGAUAUGUUAUCUUAAAAUGUUCAUCUAUGGUUUAAAAUAAUCACCAAGGUGUUGGUACAAAAGGUUUGAUGAUUUCAUCUCUAAACUUGGUUUUAACAAGAGUUCUUAUGACAAUUGUGCAUUUAUAAAUUCAAAUUCUUACUCUUCUAAGGUUUACUUACUCUUGUAUGUAGAUGAUAUGCUACUUGCAAGUAAAUCUAAAAUUGACAUUAAAAAGGUAAAGAGACCUUGAAGGAAGAAUUUGAUAUAAAGGAACUUGAAGAAUCUAAGAGAAUUCUAGGCAUUGACAUUACAAGAGAAAGAACAAAGAGGAUUAUGACAAUAGACCAAAGUAACUACUGCUAUAAGGUACUUAAAAGAUUUAAUAUGUUAGACGCUAAGCAAGUUGUAAUUCCUAUUGCACAACACUUCAAACUAUUAGUUGCUAACUGUCCAAACCUAGAAGAUGACAACCAUGUUAAGUACAUGGGGAACAUUCCCUACUCACAAGUAAUAGUGAGUAUAAUGUACCUAAUGAUUUCUACUAGGCCUGAUCUAUCUUAUUCUUCUAGUUUAAUUAGGAGGUACAUAGCUAACCCAGGCAAAAGGCAUGGGAAGCAGCCAAAUGGGUUCCUAGGUACCUAAAGGGAUCUAUGAAUGCUUGAUUAAUCUAUAAAAUAUGUUAUAAAGAACUGUUUGAACUCUAUGUGGUUUUGUAGAUUCUAACUAUGCUAGGGAUUUGGAUAAGAGAUCACAAACAAGAUAUUGUUUCCUAAUUGAAGGCAACCUACUAAGCUGGAAAGCUUCACUACAACCUGUGGUGGUCUUAUCAUCUACUGAAGCUGAAUAUAUAGCUCUUUCAGAAGUUAUUAAGGAAGCUAUUUGGCUAAAGGGACUACUGAAGGACUUUGGCUUAUCACAAAAAUCAGUAAAAAUCUACUGUGAUAACCAAAGCACCAUUCAUUUGUCUAAGAACCAACAAUAUCACAGUAGAACUAAGCACAUAGAUAUUAAAUUCCACUUCAUCAGAGAACAAAUCGAAAAACAGGAAGUGGAAGUGCUCAAAGUUCAUACCAGUGAAAACACAACUGAUAUAUUGACGAAGGUAGUCACUCGAACGAAGUUCCUCAAAUGUCUUCAAACAAUCGGGUUCAUGGAAUUCGAAGAGUGACUGCAUCAAAGCUUUGGGAGUCAAGAUAUAAACAAAAUUUUCACACUACAUCUUUUAAGGUGGAGAUUUGUGGAAAACACUUUACUAAAACAAUUUAUCUUUUGUUGUAAAAGAAAUAUAGCUAAAUUUGUUAGUUUUAGCUUCUUCAUUAACUAGAGUUUUAACUAAAGUCUUAGAGAAGCCUAUAAAUACCUAUAUCCUUUGAAAUUCAUUAGAGAAUUGAAAUAACAUCUUGCUCCCAAACACAUUGGACGUAGGCACUUGCUGAACUACUUUAAAAUCGUGCGUGUUCCUUCUCCUUCUUCCUCUCAUCAUCUUCUCUCAUAUCAGCAUAUUCUAAGAUCAAAGGUCAUCAAUAAAAAUAAAAAUAAAAAAACAGAGAAAAUUAGGAAAGAAAUAAGAAGAAACACUACCUACAAAUUUGGUCUUUCUUGACGCACACAAAUUUUGAUUUCUUGAUGGUCAUGGCAAAAGACCAUUAAGAAAAAAUUUUCUUGAUACAAUAUUUAUUUUGACGGUCAUGUACGCUAAGAAAAGUCCCCUUAUUUUGUUGAAGAAAUACGAAAAAAAACAUAAGAAAAUGUGAAUUUUUAUUUUCUCGAUGGGCAAAGUUCCCUUACUUUUGUUGAUGGUCCACAAACGUCAAGAAAACUAUUUCUCGAUGAACAAUAAACAUCAAAGAUAAUAUAUUAGUUGAGUGACAAUGCCUAUCAAGUUAGAUACGUUUUCUUGAUGAGCGAGACCCAUCAAGGAAUGAGUUUUCUUGAUUUGCAAUGGUCAUCAUCGAAAAAAAUUAAUAUAUUUGUUUUGGAUUUCUUGAUGUGUUUAGAAUUUUCUUGAUGGGUCAGGUCUAUUGAUGGACAAAGAAAAAAAAGAAAAAAAUCAUGAACAAGAUCUAUCAAGAAAAAUGAUAUUUUGAUGAACAUUGCCCAUCAAGAAUUUUUUUUAUAAUUAUGGAUUUAGCAUAAGAUCAUGGACAAGACCUAUAAAGGAAAUGAUAUCUUGAUGGACAUUGCUCAUCAGGAAAAAACUAUUUUUCACGAAGAGUGAAAUUCGGACCCUCGUUAACGGACUCAAAAAACAAGAUAUUCAUCAAUAAUGUUCUUAAAAGCUUUACUAUUUUUUUUCCAAUUAUUAUUGUCUAUACAUCAAUAAUACAAUAUCAUUUUUUUAAAAGCUAACUGUUGUAAUUAUAAUUAGAUUAAAAUAAGUGGCUUUAUCAAAAUUAAAUUAAUCAUUUUGUUCCACAUUGAUGAGUUGAAUUGAAAGUUUGUAAUUUAGAGUUUUUAAAAUUUGUAGAAGCUAGUUAUAGAACACGAACUUAGCUCAACUGACACAUGUAUAUAUUUAUGAACACGAGGUCCUGGGUUCAAAUUCGCACUUCUCAUUGAGAGGAUGAAAUGAAGAUCGAAACCAGUUGUAAUUCUUAGAAAAAAUGUGGAUUAUAAUUAUUCAAGGGACAUUUAAUUAAAAGGAUUGAGUUGGUAAAUGUUAUAGAAAGAUAAAUUCAUAGAGUUGACGUGAAUAACGAGCUAUUGGUGAAGCAACUCGUGUGCGAUUUUUUUUUACCCAUCAACUCAACCCAACCUGGAAGCGAGACACACCCCUCAACACUCCUAAUAAAAAAAAAGAAGAUCGAAACAUAUGGUAAAAUUAGAACGUAGGUGACAUAGAAGUUAGAAGUAUACUGUUUCUGAUAGAUGAAAGAAAAAGUACUAGUUUGGAAUUUCCCAUUUCUCUUUUUAUUUCAAAUUUAUAUAAUAAAGUUAUUCCAACAUUACUACUCCUGAAGAAGACAUCGAUGGAAAUUCUAAAUGGUAACAAAGAGAGGAUGCAGGCAGUAACCCAUGCAUCUACUCGAAAAGAUAAACUUGAUCAUAUCCCUUCCUGCAUUCACAAUAAUUCACACACACACAUUAAGAAAAACAACCAAAUUUUAAGAAAAGAAAAGGGAAAGGUUUAAAAAAGUAUAAAAAGAAUGGUAUUACCCAGCCUUGCCAUUAUAAAUUGGGCUGUAGUUGUAGAUAAGUUUCUCAAGAACCUUUUCUGCUGGGGGUUGGUUUAUUGAUCUCCUUGCCUCACUACAUGCAUUAAACCAACACACAAAAUAUAACCCUUUUUUUCUUAUUUUUAUUAUCCUUUUAAAUAUAACGAUGUCGACGUAAAUAUGAUUUAAAUGAACGAACUAUUUUCAAACAUACUAAAAUAAAUCUAACCUGACCAAGUGAUGGGCUACGUGGUGUGUCAAUUCAAUGGCAUAUUCUGUGUGUGGGAUUGUAGAAAUACCCCAUUCAUAUGAGUUUUUCUGCAACAUUAUAUUAGUUGGAAUUUAUACCUGAAGCUUUAGAGUUGUUGUAUCAAUAGAGAAAAAUUAGUAUUAUUUAAAAGACAAUUACCUCAGGAUUCCAUUGGAAGAUAGUUAUCGGAUAGUUUCGAGCAUUUGCAGUAGAAACAUAGACCUAAUUACAAUGAUACAACCAUAAAAAAAAAUCAAUUUGUCAUUUGUUCCAAAUAUAUGAAAAUUAGUUUUAAUAGAGUUUUGUAUCAAACAUAAGUUUUGAUUGUCCCAAAAUCAAUUCUACUUGAAUCUUUGUUUCUUAAAUCACACAACCAAACACACCUCUAAACAGUUUAAAUGAACACCAUGGAAUUUUAAUAUUAUUGACACAAAUAUAUAUGGAGAGUAAUGAGAGGAUGAUGUGUAUAUUAAAUUACCUUAUUGUUCUUGUCAACACUGGUUGUCAAGAUUUGAAAAAAGUCGGAUAAUCUUUCAUCUUGUUCAAAUGUUUCAGGUGAAAUGCCAUACUAUAUUCAACAAAAUUAACAACAAUACAAUUAAUAACCAAAACGUUACCCCACUGUAAGAGUACAUGUAAAGAAAAUAGGCUAAAAUUUUAAAGUAAGAAGCAAAAAAAAUGAAAGAGUUACCCAUGUAUGGAAUCGUUCUAAUUUUAAUAUGAAAAUUAGAGAACUAAAGAGGAAGCUCAAAAGCAAAGAAAAAAGGGUUUGAAACUCACUUUAUGGUUUUCCCAUGUAAUGCAAUCUUUAGUGGUCCUUAUUCGUAAGGAGAGUGGAACUCGACCAAAGAAAUAACAUAUAGAUCAAAUUCCACAUUGUUAUUCAUUAAUCGAAAUUGUAAGAAAUAACAAAUAGAAACUCCAUAUGUUAGUCAUGAAAUAUUGUAUUUGUGAAUCUAAAAUUUAAGGAAGCUUCAACUUACUUGAAAUAUAUAUUUGUAUAUGUAUGGAGAUGAGACUACAUAUAUGUUAUUAAAAAGUACAAUGAUAAACGUACCUUUGGAUGACAGUUCCUCUAAUAUUUGCAAAGUCGUUAAACUUCAAGGCAGAUGGAAAACGUGUGGCAUUGAAUGUCUCAAUAAUGUCAUUUCUCUAUAAAGAAAACAAAAUUAUAUUAUAUAAUAGAAAAUAAAUUAUCUCAAUUCUUACCUUAUAAGCAUAUUUUUACUAUAUUAUUGUUGUUAUCUUUUUAAUUAAUAUUGAUUUUCAUUGAGUUUGAACCGAGUAAGUUUUUUUUUUUUUAAUAAAAAAAAGAAGGUAAAAACAGUACAUUACCUGGCUAACCAUUGCGCUAAUGAUCUGAAAACCUAAGGAAAUGCCAUACAAAGGGACAUAAUCCCCAGCCUCAUUCCUACUCAAUAUUUGCUGCAUCCAAUAAUAAAUAAAUUUUUCAUUCCCAUUCAAAAUGAAAAAUAUGAUAUGAAUCAAAACUAUUUAAAAUAUAACUUACAAAAAUAAACAAAAAAAAAUCAUAAAUAAAUAUAUGAAGCAUUUACCUGGAAGAUUUUCUCAGCCACUGAAUAAUAUAACCCAUCUCUAACCCUCCCUCCUGUGAAGAUCACUCCAUUCACCAAACCCAUUUUCUGCCAACCAAAAGAAAUUUCGUUCUUAAAAGAUCACAUUCAAUUCAUAAUGAAUCAAGUUUUAAAUUUCUUCAACAGUGUAUUGAUUUCUAUUUUUUUUUUAAAGUUAGAAUACUAAAGGUAAUAUCUCCAAUAUCUCUAGCUUCCACUUAAUUAUGUUUGAAUUAAUUUGUUUCAAUCCACGUGUUAUGGUCAAUUCUUUGAAAGUCUCGUAUCAAUGAUGAGAUGAUGUUAUUGUUUCAUUCGUAUGGUACGUGUAUGGUUUAUGUCCCAACAAAAGUAGUCAAGAUGUCCCAACAAAAGUAGUCAAGAUUUUCAACGGCGGACGAUCUCUUAUAUAUACGUAAAUUUCCUUUUCAAAGGUGGUCAAUGGUUUGAUUUCAUUGGGGUGAGAUGACAGUGUAAUUGAUAAUUCGUCAGCACAGAAUCAUUAGUUUAUUACCUCUUCCAGAACCUCAGGUGGGUCGUUAUAGAUAAGAGGAAUAACUCUAGCGCCCGCGGAUUCGACGAACUUCACGUACGAUGCCGGAAUGUAGGACGCGGUGGUGGCAUUAGAGUACCUACCGGAGGCGCCAUCGCCAGGAUGAGAAAGGAUUCCGAUCACCGGACGGUAGUAGAGGGAGGGAUUGACUUUGGUACAAGUACGCAGUUGGAGGUUAUCGUCUGAUCUCUCAUUGUUCUGGAGUUGAGAAGGUAAGAAAAUGUUGUUAUAGAGAGGAUUGUGAGCACUGAUGGGUUUAACGAGACCGAUUUGGAAGAAGGAGAAGAUUAAGAGGGAAAUAGAGAGGAGAUUGAGGAGGGAAAUGGUGGAUCGGCGGCGGCCAUUGAAGAGAUGAGAGAGAUCAGCCGAAUUGAACAUUGUGAUCAGAAGAAAUUAAACAAUGGAGAGAGUUAAGAUAGAGAUGAUGAAAGGAAGGAAGAGAUAUGGAUUGAAUUUAUAGAUAAAUUUUGUUAUGCAGAUUUGUUUGAUAUUAAUUAUUGGAAUUCAUUAUUAUAAUAAUUUAGGGGCUUUGUCUUUAUUGAGAAACUUUCAAUCAUAAACUAACUAUUUUUUUGAAAUCCCUACGUGUUCUAAGUUUCAACCAUUUAUGUAUAUAUAUAUAAAAAUGAAAAAUACUUUUGUGGAUGGGAAUCAGUUGCAGUGUUUUUUCAAAAUCUGAACAGUAAACCCUAAUGAUGAUUGUAGUUAGGUCGACGAGUUGGGGUUGCUGCCUCAAAGUUCAUAUACUUAACGUACGUGUAGUAAGAUUAAUUAAUUUCAUUGUUGAAGCAAUAGCUAUUAAUAUUAACUCGGGUGAUUUGGAAAAAGUGGUAGUUUAAAAAAAUUGAAAAAAAUGGUAAUAGGUAAUAAAAGAUGGGAGCAUAAAUCAAUAAUAAACUAAUUGUGUUUAUAUAUAUAUAUAUAUAAAAGAUGAAUUUUGUUAUUUUAAAGUUUUGAUAUUGUAAGCUUAGAACAAAGGUUAGAACGUUCUACCCUCCUACAAGUUCAAAAUUUUAUUAAAAAAAUAUAAAAAACAAAUUUAUAAACAUGUGUAUAUAUAAUAAUAAAUAAUAAUUUAAAUGGAGUGGGUUCACUGACAUUUUUCUUUUUCCUUCUUUAAUUUGCACUACUCAGAGACAGAAAAUUAAAAAAGAAAAUAGUGUGGAAGAGAUGCAUUCCAAUGAUGUCAAAUUAAUUUUGAAAACAUCCAUUUUUUUCAAAUAAUUGUGUUGAAAUAAUGGAAAGGAUUUGAACCCAAUCAAGAGAUAUGAAAUCUGGAGGUUGAAUCCGAAUGCUUUGGUAUACAAUUCAUGUGUAUUUUAUGUUUUCAAAAGCAACGAUAGGAUAGGAACGUGUUUGAUAUACUUAUUUUUAAAAACAGUUUAAUUUUUAAAGGGCAACCCUUGAAAUAACCCAUUUUCAAAAGCUAUACAUUGUUAUUUUCUUUGUUUUUAAAUCUUGUUUAUAGAAAUUAUAAACAUACAUGGUAAUAUACUAUUCCAUUUUCAAAUUCACAGACAAAUUUUGAAUUCAAAUUUCAGAUUUUUGAAUGGAUGGUUUAAAGUUCAAAUACAAAAUUGCUAUAAAUUUGAAAGUGUAAGAACUAAAUUUAUUACAACAAUUUGGGAUAAAUAUGGAACCUCUCAUCUCAAAUGUCAUGUCGAUUAUCUACCGAAUUAAUCUCAUUUUCAUAUAUAAAAAUAUUGAUAUUUUCAUUGCAUUGAUUGUUUUGGAUUCUACAAAUUAUUUGCUGCGGUCCCCUAACAUCUUGAUCUUGUCUGUCAAUUGACAAACUUUUGUAGCGUAGAUAUGAUAACUUGCUUUAAUAGUAUGCACCUUCGACCAUAUCUAUAUUUAUAGUGCAAACAAACAAACGGUAAAUUUUUAGUAGGGCUGACUGGGAAUAUAACAAAUAACUAUAAAUUAAUUAAUGAUAUAACAAAUCUUUAAAAAAAAUUGCAAGUAUGACAAAUUUUAAUUUAAUUCCAAAGUAGAAAACAAAAAUGACCCUAAAUGCACUUUAUGUAUUCCUUCCAUCUUCCACUUUCUUCUCUUUUCUUCGUAUUCCGAUUUUCUUUUGCGAUUAUGGUGCUUUCGGUAUUUGGCUUCGCUUCACAUUCUCCACUUCAUCAUCUUCCAUUUUCUUCGCUUCAAGUUUUCGGCUUCGCUUCAGGAUUUCCCCUUCAGUUCACGUUCUUCCGAUAUUUUUGUUUUCUGUUUGGUCGUAAUAUUAAUAUAUUUGAAAUAGAUUUUCUUCUUUUUCUAUUUGUUUAAAAUCGAAUGAUUGAUAUAUUUGGUUAGUAGAAGUUCAGUGAUAUGUUAAGUUAGUAGAAGAUCUAAGUUAAACUGCAUUUUUUGUAUGAUGUUGUUUAAAGUCUAUCAGUGAUAUGUUUCAUGAGGAUGUUGUACUUGUUUGUGUUGGGAUAUUGAACUAGUUUUUUUGGGAUGUUAAUCUGUUUAUUUGCGGUAAAGUGUAUUGGUGGAUGUUUUAGUUUAAGUGUUGUUUCUUAAUCUAUCAAUGAUACAUUCUAUCAUUGAUAGACUUGAAAUAUGUUUAGUAAACACUUUAGUUUAAUGUGAAAACAUAUUUUGUGUGUUAUUGUUUAGGGUCUAUUAGUAAUAUGUUUCUGUCACUAAUAGACUUGGAAGAUGGUUAGAUUGUUUUCAUUUUAAUAUAUAUUUAUAAACUUUAAUUCAACAUUAUCAUUUUAGGCUGUUCAAAAAAAAAAAGAAGAUGAAAAUGAUGGAAAUAGCAAAUUAUGUUAAAAAUGUUAUGCCGAAGAGACAACUUAAUUACCGAUCAAAUAAAAUGUUGGAGAAUGCAAAAGACUAGAAUAUUGCAAGAAACCGAUUGAUUUGUCUCUAGUUUUGAUUUGCAACUCUCUCAUUGAGUAAAUGAAUAUUGUAUUAUUAGUUUUGCGGAUAUUUCAUGAUAGAAAAGAUCAAAUAUAGACUUCAUAUUUUAUUUGAUUUUGUUCAAUUGAUAUAGAAAAGUGUUGGACCACACGUUGAAUAUCGCAAAUUGACUGAUCUUCAAUAGAUGUUGAAGUUUAUUAAUGAUAGAUCAUAAUGAUGAAAAAGACUUCACAGUGACAUUACCUCUUCAUAUUUAGUUUAUUUUUAUCAUAUCAUAGGUUGAAUAAUCAUUGCAAGUUAUAUGCUUUUGUGUUCCCAUUAAGAAAUUAGUAUUAUACAUGUUAAAUAAUUGCAAAUUAAUAUUAAUUGGUGCAUUUUAUUGAGAAAAAGUUUUGUUAAUAUACAUGUUGAAGUCUAUCAUUGAUAGAAGCUAUCAAUGAUAAACUUCAUAGUAAAGUUUAUAAGCGAUAGAAACUAUCAAUAACUAUAAAUUAAACUCCAUUAUGACAUUACUUCAUAUUACUACUUUACAAUAAAGUAACUACUGCUAACAAAAAAAAAAAUGUUCUCUAUCUUCAAGCAGAAUGAUUCUUAUCAACAACUAAUGUUACACCAUUUUGUGACCAACGGGACGACAAUUACUACGUUUUGAUUAUUUUUCUUCUCAUUAAUCAUUUUUUUUGUUUUCGUGGUCCUUAUGCUUGACGCUUGCAUCGAUUAUUUUUUGAAUCAUUGCUAUAUAUAUAUAUAUAUAUAUAUAUAUAUAUAUAGUUUAUCAUCCUAGUGUUACAUUCAUUGCAUUAUAUUAGUGAUGGCCUAGGAUACGAGUCUAUUAUUGAUAGACUACUAUCAGUGAUGGACUAGGAUACAAAUCUAUCAUUGAUAUACUACUAUCAAUGAUAACUUAGGAUAUUAGUGAUAGUUUAGGAUAGGGUUUAAUAUCAAUGAUGACCUAGAAUACGAGUCUAUCAUUGAUAGACUAAUAUCACUGAAGGACUAGGAUUUUCUAUCAUUGAUAAACUAAUAUCACUGAUGGACUAUGAUACCGAGUCUAUCAUUGAUAGACUAUUAUUAGUGAUGGACUAGGAUACGAGUCUAUCAUUGAUAGACUGCUAUCAGUUAUAACUUACUAUAAGUGAUAACUUAGGAUAUUAGUAAUACACUAGGAUACAGGCCGUCUAUCAGUGAUAGACUAACAUCACUAUGCUCAUAUUAACUAAUCCAAUUAAUAGUCUAUUAGUGAUAAUUUAUAUUCAUCGAUAUUUUUAGAAAAAAAAAUCAAUUUCUUUUAAUCUAAAAAUGUAGAAGUGAUAGAAAAGUUCUUAAUAUGCUCAAUUUCUACGAAUCCUCAAACUGAUGAAGUCCAAUACAAGUGAAAUUAAACACAUUUUUUAAUAUAAAAAUACUAGUAAAAUCAAUUGAAUUGAACAAAAUCAACCUAGAGUGAUAAAAUUAAAUCAAAUUGUAAAAAUUGGAUGAAGUAAAAUUUUAGGGAAGAAUCACAUCUUUAAAAAAAAUAUCAAACUGAGAUGGAAGAAAAUCGCGAAGAGAAGAAAUGAUCUUAAAGUAGGAGAAAAUCAUAGAGAAGAUGGAUAAUGGAGAAACAAUGGUGAAGAUGGAGAAUGGGAAACGACGGUGAAGAUGGAGAACGGAGAAAAAGACGAUGAAUAUGAAGAAUGGAGAAAACGAAGAUAUAAAAAAUGGAGAAAAUCGUGGAGAAUAUGGAGAAGGAGAAAAUUGUGGAGAUUUCUUUUAAAACAAGGACAAUUUUGAAAUAUUUUUAAAAAGAAUACAAAAUUUGUUAUAUUUACAAAUUGUUUAGGAAAUUGUUAUAUACUUAAUACUUUAUAUUUUAUGCCAAAAAAAAACUGCUAUUAAUUAUAAAAUCUGUCUUUAGUAUAAACUUGUUCAAGUAUAGUUGUACGAAUUAAUUUAACUAAUUUAACUUAUGCUUUACAAUCGUAGAUUUAAUAUUGUAUUUGAACACGUUACACUCUUUCUUCAGAAAAAAAUGAAUUAUAUUUGGAUGGGAGUAAGUAUGAAUGAAGAGGGGAUGAAGCAUAAAAGUCAAAAUUUGAAAAUUUGAUGAUGCUAUGACUAUGAGAAUUAUUAAACAGAAAAAAAGUGUCAUAUCUUUAUCCCUUUGCUUUUAACUAUUUCUGUCUCAUGGCUUGGCUUGGCUUUGCAUCAUUAUUGCUCAAUUGUUUGAGUACCUCUCUUUCUUCUAUCAUAUGCAUAAUCAUUCAUCCAUCUUUUUCCUUGGGUAUAACAUAUAAUACACGUGUGAGAAGACUAAAUACAAAUUAAAAUUUUCAAUAACUAAUUUAAAAGAGAUUAUUUUUUAUAAAUAUAAUCAAAAUAUUUGGUCACCUAACCAAAAGAAAAAAAAAAAACUUAUUAAGUUAACUAUUUUUCUAAAUAUUAUCUUCUUUUUCACCAUCUUUCUCCUUACCUUACUGCCACAUUUUUUCAAUUUUUUUUAAAAAUAUUCAAACGUUAUUUGUUUCAAAUUACCAAAUGCAAAAUAUUUUUUUUAAAAAAAUGAAAGUAGUUUGAUUAUUUAGAUCAGGUGACAAAUAUAAAAGAUCGAAAAAAAUCGUAGAUAUAGUCAAAUUUAAAUUUGUAGUAUACAAACAAAAAUAGUCAAAUUUAAAGUAUCAAGUAGCCUUUAAAAUUAUAUUUAGAUUUGAUACGUUAGAUGAAAUGGUCUAAACAUGUUUGAUAUAUUUUUUAAAAGAUUGGUAAAGUUUUGUAGACUAAUUUUUUGUGUGGAUAUUUUAAAAAAAUAAUAAAAGAAAAACCAAAAUGUCAGAAAACCAUAAUUAAAAUUGAGUAAAAACGUAGAUAUAACAUUGAUUCAAAGGAAACCCAAAGCAGCUUCAUAGAUAUGUAAUGACCUAGAAUUUCAUUCAACUUAUCUUCAAUCUCAAUAAGCUUUGCAGAUCGAACCCAUCAUAAACAAACGAUUCUCCACAGUAAACAUGAUGAUCAUCUCACCAUUACUAUCAUAGACAUUUGGAUUAAAUGGUACGAAUUUGUGGAUUGUUUCAUGAAUAAACGUGUCUUUUUUUAAAAUAAUCAAUUUGAAACAGAAACGUGAUUAUUGAUCAAAUAACCACAAAUAGUCUAUAACUAUGCCUCUUUUUCACAAUGCUUUUGUGAACUUUUCUUUUGUAAUGAUUCUCUCAUAGACAUUAUAUUUCUCCCUUGUGUAAACAUUGUUCAAGUUCGAUUUAUUUCUAUAAAGUAUAUUUCGUUGGAUUUUGUGGACGCGAUAUAUAUGUUGCUUCCAUGACAAAUACUCAUAUAACAUUAACUAUAUAACACGAACAUAGCUCAAAUACCCACUCACCGUUAUAAAAACCACAUUGAAAUUCAUCUAAAAAAAUCCAAGAGGAUUGCUUGACCAACAGGGAGCCUCCAAACAAAACAAAGGUAGAGCAAGCCACUGAUAAAAACAAUCCAUCCCAUCAAAUAUUGAAUGCUUGUCUAAAAAUCUAUUACAAAACUAAAUAUUCAACCUUGAAUGUAUAUAUCAAAUGAGUAAAUGUGGAGUGAUUCUAAAUGAGAUUUGUCGAAUAGGCAUUGCUACAAAUUUGGUCUUAUAAAAAUUAGUAUUGACCAUAAAGGAAAGAGAUAUAAUCCGGGACUUCUUGUCCACAACUACAUACAAGUGGCAAUUGAGUUAAGCUCACGUUGGCUAGCUUUUACAACUUCUACAAAUUUUAAAAACCCUAAACCAUAAACUUUCAAUUCUAACUCAUUUAAUUUUGAUAAAGUCACUUAUUUUAAUCUAAUUAUAAUUGCAACAGUUAACUUUUUAAAAAGUAAUAUUGUGUUAUUGAUAAAUAGAAAGUAAUAAUUGAAAAAAAAUAGUAACGAUUUAGAAAUAUUAUUGAUGAAUAUCGUGUUUUUUGAGUCCGUUAACGAGUGUUUGAAUGUCAUGCUUUGUGAAAAAUAGUUUUUUCUUGAUGAGCAAUGCCCCAUCAAGAUAUCAUUUUUCUUGAUUAGUCAGGUCCAUGAUCUUAUUCUAAACCCAAAAUUAUAAAAAAAAAAAUGAUGGAUAAUACUCAGCGAGAUAUCAUUUUUCUUGAUGGACAUUGCCCAUGAUUUUUUUUUUUUUUUUUUUUUGUCUUUAUCCAUGAAGAAACCCUAGACUCAUUAAGAAAAUUAUAAACUCAUCAAGAAUUCUAAAACAAAUAUAUUAAUUUUUUUUAUGAUGGUUAUUGCAAAUCAAGAAAACCUAACUAACUUGAUGGGCAUUGCCAGUAAACUAAUAUUAUAUCCUUGAUGUUUAUUGUCCAUCGAAAAAUAGUUUUCUUAAAGUUUGCGGACCAUCAAUAAAACUAAGAGAACUUUGUCCAUCAAGGAAAUCAAGAAUUCACAUUUUUUUACUUUUUUUUGUAUUUCUUUAGCCAAAUAAGGGGGACUUUUCUUGACGUACAUGACCAUCAAGAUAAACAUUGUAUCAAGAAAAAUAUUUUUCUUGAUGGGUCCUUUGCCAUCACUACAACAAGUCAUAGUUCCCUCGACGUCAGAGUGCGUCGGGGAAGGUUAAAAGACAUCGGGAGAUGGUCUCACAAUGUUUUCCUCAACGUCGGGAUGCACAUCAGAACAUCUGUGUCGGGAGAACUCUUCUCGACGCACCAAGUGCAACACGUCGAAAUGCCCUUUCCCCAACGUUUUUUAUGCCGACGCACAAUUACUUAACGCCGUGCGAGCUUUCCCCGACGCAUACAAAAUGGCGUCAGAGAAAGACUUAUUUCCCGAUGCAACAGUGCGUCGAAAAUAAUUUGAGUUUUUUUUCUCGUUUCAGUUUCUAUUCAAUUCCAUAUGAUUUAAUUCAAUUAAAACUGAACAACCAAAGUUAAUAAUUGAAUAUAAUGGCAAAUGAAAAUUUUAUUAUAAUUAAAUAAAUGUUUCAUUAUUGUCGUACAUUCAAAUUUGUUAAAAUAAAAUUACAUGAAAAAGAUUAAGAUAAUUUCUUCGGUUGACGCCAUAAUUCAACAAGUCCAAACCUACGACGAAAAAAAAGUAAAUAUAUAUAAUGCUAAUAUCAAUAGUAUUGCGAAGUAAACAACAUUAAAGUUCAAAAAUAUGUAGCGCAAGUUCUCGACUCACGGUCCUCUCUGUGCCCAAGUCAUUUCUUCAAUCAUCUUCAUCAUUUUUUUUCAUUUGUUGGGCCUAUAGCUCGAGCAUCCUUCUCUGCUCUUCAAUCAUGCACAUAGCUUCUUGAAGCUCGAGCCUUUGCUGCUCAAUGAGAAUUACAUUAGCUUAUUUAAACGUCGUAAAGUGUGAAGAUGUAAUCGAAGAAGUGCUAACAAUUCCAAUUCAAUUUUCUGUUAAACUUUCUAUUCAAAAGAAUUCCAAUUUUCUAUUUCAACUUUCUAUUUAGAAUUACUUCAUUCAAAACACCUUCCCUAACAAUUCCAAUUCAAUCCCCCUUCUUUAACUUUCAAUUCUCACUCCCCUCUCUCCUCCCUUUAAUUAUUUUCAAUUCAAGCCCCUUCUUUAAUCUUUUUUUUCACCUCACCCCUCUUUAACUUGUGAAAACCCCAUUAUGUUUUCAAUUCAACCCCCACAAUUUCAAUUGAUUUAACCCCUCCCUCUUCCAAAAUUUCAAUUCAAUCCCCUUCAAUAUAUAUAAAUUUAUAAAUCUAAAAAUCAAUUAAAAUUCAAAUUGAAUACCAAAAUCUAAUUCAAAAACUAAUUCAAAAUCUUAUUCCUAAAACAUAAUUCUAAUUCAAAUCUAAAUAAAAUAAAGUACUAAUAUCAAACUAAUACUUAUCGGAAUACAAAGGCGAGCAGUGGAAGACGACGAUGAGCGAAGAAAACCGACGGCAAGAACUUCUCGAUCUCCCUCCCUUUCUCUUUCGAUUAUGUACAUCACAUAAUGCAGUGGGUUUUAAGACAAAGGACCUCCCGACACAGACCAAAAACGUCGAGAAAAGUAUGACCAUUGCCGACGUAGUGACUAAUGGCAUCGGAAAUGGUCAUAUUGUUCCCAACGUCUCUGACAUUGCGUUGGAAUAAGGCGAACGAUAUUAUUUAAUCCUUCGACCUUCCCCAACGCAAGACGGUUGACGUCGGCUUAUCUCUAGGAAUCCCUGACGCAACACUGUACACAUCAGGUUUUCUUUUUGUUUUUCCAACGUUUAUUUUAGCACGUCAGGAGUACCUGCGGCAUUCCCGACGUCCACAUGGGUGUGUCAACAUACGUCCCCUCCUCCAACGUUAUGGUUUGUGUGUUGAAGGAAAAGGCUUCUGCCAACAUCCUAUUUUCGACUCAAUUUUGUGUGUCGAGAAAACACGGAUUUCUUCUAGCGCAUGACCAUCAAAAAAUCAAAAUUUGUAUGCGUCAAGAAAGACCAAAUUUGUAAUAGUGAAAAUGUUUCGAUACAAUCGACAACAAAUGGAUCGGAGGUUUCUGGUUUACAAAGGAUCGCAUUAAGUGUUAGGUUAUCAUCUAUAAUGUCCCAAAUUUUGAGGUAUUUCUCUUAGCUUAUUUGAUGAUUUUAUUAAAUUUUAAGGAUUUUUGGGUGUUAUGUUAUUAUAGUUUGCUGUUAAGGAGAAUUUAUUUUGGUGGGAAAGAAAUGAAUUUAAAAGGAAAAGGAAUUGGAAAUGGAGAAGUGGAAAAGUAAUGUUAAGUAAAAUGUAACGAUUAUUAUUAAUUAUUUUAAAACCCUUCUUGAUCUACGUGCAUCUCCUUCCCCAAUAUUUCUUCAUCUUCUUCCUUCUUCACGAGUUACAACUGCUGCCACCCCUUUUUUCUUAUUUUUCUUCUCCGUUCAAUCUCCUCCAUCAAUCGUUUGAGCACGUCACAUCGUCGACGCCCAAGCCGAAGCAUUUUGUCAUGAAGUGUCGUCGUCGCACACCGUUUGUUUCCCUCGCAUCCGACAGCCACGCAUAGUGGAGUGCCGCCACGACAUCCUUUGUUCGCGCCUAUCUCCGUUCGCAAAGUACAGCCGUCGACCACCACUGAUGACUGAACUGUUAGCAUUGAACUGAUUAAAUGAAGGGUUGUUUAUGUUAAUGUAUAGAUAGUGUACUCUAGAAUUAAUUGACUAAACUAAGGUGGGUGACGUUAAUGUAUAAGUACAACCGUUUGAGGAACCGUUAUGCUAAUGUUUGAUUAUGUAGUAUGUGUUGAACCGAAAGAAUGAUAUGAUGGUAGAUUGAAUUGUAAAUUGAACUGACUAUUUAAAAUGUUAAAAUGGACGGAUGGAAAUUGUUAGCUUUAUCUAUAGGGUUGUGUGUCUUGCAGGUGUUCUACAAGAUUACGCAUCCUUUAGAAGCAUAGAUGCAUCCUUUAGGAGCACUAGACUAAUAUGUGCACUCUUUGGGAGCAAUACACUGAUAGGUGCACCCUUCGGGAGCACUAGACUGAUGGGUGUAUCCUUUUGGAGUACUAGAUUGAUUAUGUGCAUCAUAUGGGAUCACGAGACUGUUAUGAUGUAGGAUAAUAUUGAUUAUGUGCCUCCUACAACAUCAAUUUAAAUGUGAACUUUAAGGUUAUCUUAGUUUAAAAUCCAAACUAAUAAAUGUAUCAAAUUAAAUCAUAAUGAUGGUGGAUUUAUUUGUUUGCUUCUUCUUUAAAAUUUUAUAAUUGGAGAUUUUAAAUUAGUACAACUAUGAAAGUUAAAAGUUAGGAUACAUUUAUAAAAGUUGAAAAACUAAUUUGAUAUAAUCAAUUGUGGAGUUUAAAUUGAUAUUUUCUUUUUUUAUUUGUACAACUCAUCUCAUUAUUGCAUUUCUUCAAAUCCAAAAAUCAACCAAUACAAAAAGAUAAAAAGAUCUUCACCCAUGUGAAAAAGAAGAGGCAGUAACUUUUGCAACAACCACAGUAAUAUCAUCAAUUUUCCCUCCACAGUGGCUCCGCCCAGCUUUCCGAGCCUCCACCGCAAACGGCCCAUCUUUAACUGAAUCCAAUGAAUUAUACCACGCCAGCUCCGCCACCAUUGUCGCCAAAUCCACCGCCGUCUCCGCCACCUCCGCCGCCAACAACUCCACAAUCUCUCUUUCAAACACGUUGUCCAAUAACCCGUCCGUUCCCACGACGAUUAUAUCUCCGGCCUCCAUCCUAAUCUUUCCACUCCACGCCACUGUCGGCUUAUCGAACUGCUCCCUCGUCCCCAUCUGGUACGGACAGUUAAACCCUCGCCGCUGCACCGGCGACCGGUAAACCAACUUCUCUCCUCUGAAAAUCAUGAACCCACUGUCGCCUAGAUUCGCCGCCCGUAAAAACCACCCGUCGAAGGAGAUUAGACACGCCGUUGACGAUCCGGCGGCGGUGGUCCGGGAAUGAGCCUCCGUCAUUACGCGUUUUGGAUACACGAUGCCCUCGGCGCCGACUACGGAGGCAACGCAGUUUCUCAUGUGGUCUCUGGCGUACUCGCCGGCGUCGAUGCCCUUUAAAGCCCAGCCACCGACGCCAUCGGCCACGCCGGCGGUAUUUUUGUCGGAGAUUACGAAGUGGGCGUCUUCUCCUAAGGGUUUUGAAGGGUUGUCUUUGGGAAUAUAAGAGGAGCCCAUCUCAACAUUGAGAAUGGGAGCCGCAGCCGCCACCAUUGAUGGCGUUUGAUGAAGAGAUUCUUGGGUUCUGAAAAUUGUUGGGACAAAUUUUCUUUUGAUUAUCAUUAUGAAAAAGGGAUGAACAAAUUAAACAGGGGAUUGUAAAAUUGGGAAAAAAUCAAGAUUGAUUGAUUUAUAUAUAUACAUUUAUAUAGUGGAAAAGAUUAAGAAGUAUUUGGAUUCGGAUUAGGAAAGUUCUAAUUUUUAAAUUUUAAGUAGAUAUAGAAAGUGAUUAAAACGUAUAAAAUAAUGAACUCCUAAUUCGAUUUUGAUUUCCCUCAUUUAAAUAAAAAGCAGGUUUGAAUUAAACUGUAGAAAAUUAAUUUAGAAACGUUCACUCGAUUUUGGUUGGUUAUCUCAGUUUGAGGCUGAAACCGGAAUCAAAUCGAACUGAGUUUUAAAUAAUCUCAUACCAUAAAUAUAUGUGUCUACGACCUCUUACACGAUUAUUUUGUUUUCUAUACGAUUGUUUACUCUCUUACUAUUUGAUUUGACUUUAGAAUCGAUUUAAUGUCUUAAAUCCAACUAAACCGCGUAAGAAAUCAUUUCAAUUUAAAACAAAACCACAUCAAAGAUGAUGCAUUCAAUUUGAAUUUGGCUAUUAACUAUUUUGCAUAUCACCAUCCCUAAAUACAUAAUAAAAUGUCUUUGUUAAGGAAAGAGAAAAAGAAAAAGAAAAAACAAUCAAAUUGUGCACUUAAAUAUUAAAUGAGUCGGCUGUAGUAUUCCUUUACUAAGAAGGAAUAUAUUUUAGAUAAAAUGAAUACCUUUUUUAAAAAAUCACAUUAACCAAAUGGUUUUGGAAUCCUUCUAUAUGUAUGUAUAUAUGUAAACUCAACACCUUCUAUUUGAGCGAUCUUCCGCCCACCCCGGCACUGAAAUUAGAGAUGGAUUCUUUCUACAUUCCCAAAGACAACCCUUCAAAGCCCAUCGGAGAAGAAGCUCAAGAGUUUAACUGUCCGUAUAAGCUUGGGAAAGAACCGGGUUUGAAUGAACCGAUGGAUGCGAUGUGGCGGAAUGUUACUGUAAUGGCCGGAGAUAUUGUGGUGGUCGGAACUGACGGGUUGACGGACAACAUAUUCGCCGGAGAAUUUGGUCGCUCAAUUGGCCGUGGUAUACAACGAGAAAUCUGUUAGUGCAAACCAGAGGAAAAAUGGAAUGACGGAGAUUGACUUCCUAAGUGUUGUAAUUAGGAUGUCGAAAACAAAUUGAUGUGCCAUUACAAACCACUUGGAUGACGUGUGUGACAUGUGCAUGGUGACAUGGUUAUGCUAGCCUAGAUCCACAAAUCAUUUUCGUGUUAAGAUGACUCAACUCGAAAACACAUAAAAAAAUUCAACCCAACUAUUACAAUUUGGUACCCUAAUCUUCACUUAAUACAUAAUUUUAUUAAGUUAAUACAUAAAUAUUUUACUAUUCGUUGACGACUUAAAAUACUUAUUGACAUUUUCAAAUAAAAUAAAAUUGAAUAUUCUAUCGAUCAUAAUUGAUAAAACAGACAAAAGUAUCUAUCAAUUAUCUAUUAAGGGCUUAGUUGAGAUAAGAUAUUUGGAGAGUUCAUAUGUCUAAGGGAUUAGGUGUAAUUUUUUUAUUUUAAAUAAUAUGUUUCUUUUAAAAAAAAUUAUUCAAUAAUUUUUCCUAUCCUUGCUUGAAUUAAAUAUGGAUUGCAUUUUUUUUUCAUUUUGGUAAUGAACAACAAUUAACCUACUAUGUUUUUUGCACCAACAUGGAUAAAUAAAAUAUAAAACAAAUGAGAAAUCAAAACUUAUUUAUUUCUCAUUUUUUCCAUAAAUUUUAUUGUUUUAUUUUUAUUUUUCUUCUCAUGGUUGAGUUGUAUUUUUCCUCUAUCAUGAUUUUUUUAUUUGAAUCUCCCCUGCCAUCUUAGCCAUGGAUGAAAUGCUAUCAUAUUUCUACAUUCAAUUUCUCCAAAUUUAAAGAAUCAUCAAAUAAUAUACGUUCAUUUUCACUAAUUCUUACUAAAAAAAUAUUUAAAAACAAUAAAUCUUAUGAUUAUUAUUUUUUUUUUGUUAUUUGUUAAUUUUGCUUUGUUUUUUCAUCCUAUUUAAUGACGUAUAUAGUUUCCAAAUACUUAACACUCAUUUCAUAUGUGAGUUAUAUGUAUAUAUAUGUACACACACAUACCAUCAACAACAUAAAAACCAAUGAGUUUUUUAAAUGCUUGGACAAAUAAAUCUAUUAAAAUGAUCUAACCAUCACAACUUUACAAUAUCAAAUUACUAUAAAAACGACUAUUAGCAUUAUAAACAAGUAAUUUCAAUUUUGUACUUAAAAGCACUUUUACCAACCAACUUAUUUUUCUAAGAUGUAAAAGCACUUGUCAUUAUAGUUUAUUAUCAAAGGUGAUUUUCCUUGAAUUUUAUCAUAGAGAGGUAGUUGUUGGAAUCCAAAGUUGAAGAUGAUUGUCGAAGUUGAAUAUCCAAUGUGAUUUUCGCCAAAGUUUGUAGUUGUAGAUGGUUGUCAGAGAAGUUAGUUGCAGAAAGCUAAUCUUGGAAAUGGUCACAAGAGUUUGUUGUCGAAGCUUGAAAUUCAUCGCACAAAGGUGGUCAUCAAAGUUGAUUUUUCAUCGAAGUAUGUUAUUGGAACCAAAACUUGGUCAUCAACGUUUGUUAUGCAAAGUCGGUCGUUGGAGGUGGCCACUGAAGUCUAUCAUCAGAGACAGUUAUUGAAGCCAAAAAUCAAUCAUCGAAGUUAGAUGUGUGAAAAUGGUAGUUGCCAAUGGUAGUCGAUAGGUGAACCUAUUGGAACCAUUAGGGAGAUGGGAGUUAGAGUGAGUUGGUACAAUAUACCAACCCAACUCCACCAAUAUGUAAAUUUGAUGAGCUAAACAAUGAGUUGAUAUAUUAUAACAACUAAACUCAUCUCAAAUGGGUGUGUCAAACCCCCUUCACAUCUGUAUUUUAUAAAUCUAAAGGAUACAUCAUAUAUCAAACAGAAGCAAAAGACAAAAAUACAGAAUAAAGGAAAAAGAACAAAUUUGGUAAAAUGAUUUUCUGUUGAAUAGGCCUACAUCUCAUAAUCUCAUAAACAGCCAAAAUGUCACAAAACGACCUUCAUCAAACUUUGCUGAAGGCAGAUUUUACUAUUAAGGCUGUUACCUAAUCAAAUCACAUCUAUGUUCUUAACUGUCAAUAACACCUCACUUUACAAAAUCCAGAGCCACCAUCCUUCAAAGUAGCUUCACCAUUGCGAUCAACCUUCAUAGAAUCAGUUUAUUUGAUACCCUCCAAUUCGUUAACCUUUGUCGAGUCAUCUUCAACAUUAUCAUCCAUAAUACUAGACUGCAUUUUGCCAACAGAUUUGUCCUGCAACUUUGCCAAGGCAGCAGUGUUGUUAAUAGAAAAAAUGAACAUGAAGUUAAAAGCAUAGUGAGAGAUUGAUUUGAUGAACUAGCAGACCUUUGACACUUCUGACUUCGUUAAGGAACAACCAAGAGCUUCGCCCUUUAACACGACUGCAGGAAGCAUUUCAAUGUCGCACCCAAGAACCUUGCAUACAACUAAAGUAUAUGCCCUAUGAGCCAGCAUUCCCGUUUUCAACAUUUUAGUUUUCUGAGGCUUCUGACCCUGAUUCUGUGUAUUGUUCUUCCCUAGAUGAGUAGAAUGCUGGAGAAGGCGUCUACAGGUCUUAAAACACUUUGAUUUCCUUCCUGCUACUUGGCAAGCUAAACAGGUAAAUUCUCCAUCGCCAUAGUGGUUCUCAUAAUAUCUUCUCAAGUUUUCAUUCUCGGUGAACAACUUCAGAAAGAAUUUGAACUCUUCGCUCUCCUCAGCUCCAUCCAUUAACUCCUUUUCACUAACAUCAUCAUCGUUCAUAGAUCCAAAGAAAGCUGCAUUAAAUUCUUUACAUGCUCUCAAAACUGUUACCUGCAACAUUUCGACUUAAAUGCUCAUCAGCAGAAACUACAUAUUUUGAACAAGGCAUUCGGUUAGUGCUACCAAGGAACCAUUAGUUUCUUUUUCUAAUUAACAUAAGACAAGUAACUGCGUGCUCAUAAAGAACACCUGAAUGGCUGAACCGAAUAUAGCUUAGUUCAAAACUGCAUAGAUUGUUUUCUUCAUUAACAAAACUUCAAGACCUUGCAAAUUUGAAAAGAGCAAAUGCAAUAAGAUCAUCUUACAGGAAAAUUAUCCAUUUCUUCGUCGCUUUCUCCCAUGCCUGAAAUUGAAUUAUCUGCAUUUCCUACUUGCAGCAUGACAUCAUUAUCCUCCCAGGCAUCAUCAUUCUAUAGUGAAAAGCAAUCAAAAUGGAUACUUUACACAAGAAACCACAGAGAUCAAAUAAAAGUUAAUCCCGUAAUUGCAUGAAAACCAACCUCUCCAGAAACCCAAUCUUUGGAAUUAGAAGUUGGAUCUUCAGCUGUCUUUACUUCCUCCAAUUUCUGUUCAUCCUCAUUGACAUUCACCGAAACCACUUCAUACUCAUUAUCAACAUGAAUUUCCUCUAGCUGAACCUACAAUUAUGUCAUAAUAUAAAGCAAUGCCAUUAUAAAAGAAUUCAACUUCGAACACACGGGAAGGCCAGUAAAGUACCUUCAAGUCUCCUGAAUUGGCUAAUGAUCGACUAAGUGGCUCGCCCUUCAACACAAUCGUUGGAAGUCGAUCAACAUCCCAACCAAAAACCCUGCUUACAACCAGACCAAAAGCUCUAUGAGCUCGCUUCUUCUUCGUCCUGGAUAUCGAAAGCGAAUGUUGAACAAGCCCAAGACAGUUCUCAAACCUUUUCCCAGAUUUCUUUUUCCCCAUUCCACCACAAACCAAGCAACAAAACAACCCGCUUUCACAAUUCUUCUCGUAAUAAACCCUAAGUUCUUCAUUCUCCACGAACAUCUUCAAAAAGAAUUUAUACUCUUUACUUUCCAUCAUUUCCCAAUCAUCUUCAUCCUCCUCCUCUUCUUCUUCGUCACUCUCUGAAUCGGCAUUUCUAGCAAAAAAUUCCCGGCAGGCAUCGGAACCCUCGUCUUGCAAUUGCAAUGCUGCAAGAUUUUGUCGGUCUUCAGACGAUACAGGCUGAGCUGCGGGAGUGGGAACGGGCUGAAUUGGCGGCCACCAAGAUGAGGUGGAGGGCUGAUUUUGAAGCGGCUGGGGACAGGGCCAGUUGGGGGCGGAGUCUUGUGGUUGUGGUGGGUCGGGGCGUGGUUUUUUCUUGUUCUUGUUCUUGUUCUUUGGCUUAUCUGGACCUAUGGGUCUCUUGUUGGAGGGAAUGGGAUUGGCGAGGGGGGUGGAUGAAUGGUUGUGAGUGGGUAUAGGGUUCCUCGGCGGCGGGCCUCGGUGCCAGAGAGCAUGAAGAUGGAGGACCUCUUGGGUUAGUCUUUCCUCGGAGUAAGGAUCCAUUGACAACUUCCUCCUCCCGACUCUCACCAACCUUUCGUCUUUCUUCUUUCUUCUUUCUAAAAUAAAGAAUAAUAAAGUUUUAACGAUGCUAAAAUUUCAAGACUACUCUUUAAGCUUUAAAAAAAAAAAGUUUAACCAAUACUUUCAAUCAAAAUUUUAAGUUAAAAACUAUAGUUUAAAAUUUAUUACAUAACCAUCUUAGUUGUUAUUGUUGUAAUUAAUUGUCAACAAAAAAUAUAGAUAUAGUUGAUUAUUAUCUAUAUUUUCUUUUAUUUCUCUGGUUAUUGUUUUUUCUUUUUUUCUAAAUAGUUAUUGGUUUUUUAAAAAAAUAUUUUCUUUCUAAACUUUAAUAAGUAAGUUUAAUUAAUAAGUUUGGUUAAACUAUUAUUUGGUAUUUGGUUCUUAUAUAUCGAAGUUAGUUUUUUAGUACAAUAAUUAUGGACGGAGAAAUAGGAGAUUAUAACUUUAAUAUAGUAAUUUGAAGCUAAAUUAGACCAAAGUAUUAUAUCUACCUUCUAAAAUUUAAAAUUUUAACAACUUUUAUCACUUAAAUUUUGUAUUUGAUAUUAAUUGUUAUAAUUAUUCAUACAUGAAGUUUGAGCUUGAAUAAAAUGUGGAUUAUCUCAUCCUAAUCUCUCAAAUCGUCCACAAAUCAUUUCCAACCAUUAAGAUUAGACGUGAUAUAAGAUGACUUAAUUCAAAAACACAUAAAAUAAUUCAACCAAUCCUAAUUCUUACUAUUUGGGUUGGACAAUUCGAGUUAUUUGAGCACUUUUAAUCUCUACUUACAUAUAUGUUCUAAAAAUACACAAUCUUAUUUAAUUAAUACAUAAAUAUUUUACUAUUAAUUGACGACUUAAAAUAUUUAUUGACGUUUUCAAAUAAAACAAAAUUGAAUAUUCUAUCCAUAAUAAUUGAUAAAAGUUGAUGAAAGUGUCUAUCAGUUAUCUAUUAAGAACUUAGUUGCAUUUUUUUUUUAAUUUUAAUUAAUAUGUUUCUUAUACCUACUUUUUUUUAUAAAAAUUUUUAUUCAAUAAUUUUUCCUAUCUUUGCUUAAUUGGAUUAUUCUUUUACUUUUAUAAGUUUUUUUUGUUUGGUAACGAACAACAACUAACCUAUUAUCUUUUGUGCACUAACAUAGAUAAAUAAAAUAUAAAACAAAUGAGAAAUCAAAACUUUUAUUUCUAUUUUUAUUUUUACUUUUCUUCUAAUUGUUGCGUUCUAUUUUUCCAUGAUUUCUUUUAUUUGAAUCUCCCCGUCAUCUUAGCUGUGGAUGAAAUGUUAUCAUAUUUCUUCACCAAUUUCACAUUCAAUUUCUCCGAAUAUGAAGAAUCAUCAAAUAUAUCUUCAUUUUUACUAAUUCUAACUAGAAAAUAUUAAAAGAAAAGGAUAAUUAUGAGUUUUUUUUGUUGUUAAUUUUGCUUUGUUUUUUUGUUCUCUAAUCUAUUGCGUACAUAGUUUUCCAAAUUCUUUAACACUCAUUUAAUAUGUGAGUUAUAUAUAUACACACACGAUCAAUAUAAAAAUCAAUUUCAUGCAUACAAAAAAUAUUGUUAUUUAAAAUAGUUAAAUUGGUUAGUUCGACCAAGUAAGUACAAACAAUAUGUCUUCAUUGCUUGUUAGUGAUACUGUUAAGAAGCAAUGAGUUUUUGGAAUGCUUGUGGCAAAUAAAUCUAUAAGAAUGACUUGUCCAUCCACUUGUUGAUCCACAUACAACUUCUCAAUAUCAAAUUACUAUGAAAGACACAACUAUUAACAUUAUAAACUAAUAAUUUCAAUUUUGUACUUAAAAGCACUUUUACCAACCAACUUAUUUUUCUAAUCAAAUGUGAUUUUUCUUGAAGUUUAUCAUAGAGAGGUAGUUGUUGGAGUCCAAAGUUGAAGAUGGUUGUCGAAGUUAAUUAUCCAAUGUGAUUUUCGCCAAAGUUUGUAGUUGUAAAUUGUUGUCAAAGACAGAAGUUGGUUGCACAAAACUGAUCUUGGAAAUCGUCGUAAGAGUCUGUUGUCAUAACUUGAAAUUCAUCACAAAGGUGAUCAUCAAAGUCGAUUUUCAUCAAAGUUUGUUAUUGGAACCCGAAAUUGGUCAUCAAAGUUGGUUAUGCAAAGUCAAUCAUCAAGGAGAUGUGAAAAUGGUAGUUGGUAGGUGAAUCUAUUGGAAACAUUAGAGAGAACGGAGUAAAAAGUGAGUUGGUAUAAUAUACAUGUUAUGAUAUAUAUAUUUAUAUUUUAUCAUAUGUCAAUUAUUGUAAUUGUACAUAGUGUCUAGUGUUUAUUUUAUUCUCUAUAUAAAUAGGUAACGUUCCUUUGACUCAAUACGAAUAAGAAAUAUAUUUAUAUGAAUUCAACUCCAUCAAUAUGUAAAGUUAAUGGAUCAAACAAUGAGUUUAUAAAUUAUAACAACUCAACUCAUCUCAAAUUGGUGUGUCAAAUACGUUAGCAUCUAUAUUUUAUAAAUAUUUUUCAGAGUAGUUUUAUUGUUUAAUUAGUUGUUGUGAAAGGUAACAUAUUUAACCUAACUUUUUCUAUAUAUAUAUAAAAGUAAAGAAUAACAUUAUAUAUCAAACAGAAGCAAAAGACAAAAAUACAUAAUAAAGGAAAAGGGACAAAAUUGGUAAAAUGAUUUUCUUUUGAAUAGGCCUACAUCUCAUAAUCUCAUAAACAGCCAAAAUGUCACAAAACGACCUUCAUCAAACUUUGCUGAAGGCAGAUUUUACUAUUAACGCUGUUACCUAAUCAAAUCAUAUCUAUGUUCUUAACUCUCAUUAACACCUCACAUUACAAAAUCCAGAGCACCAUCCUUCAAAGUAACUUCACCAUUGCGAUCAACCUUCAUAGAAUCAGUUUAUUUAACACCCUCCAAGACGGAGUCAUCUUCAACGAUAUCAUCCGUAUUACUAGACUGCAUUUUGCCAACAGAUUUGUCCUGCAACUUUGCCAAAGGCAGCAGCGUUGUUAAUAGAGAAAAUGAGCAUGAAGUUAAAAGCAUAGUAAGAGAUUGAUUUGAUGAACUAGCAGACCUUUGACACGUCUGACUUCGUUAAGGAACGACCAAGAGCUUCGCCUUCUAACACGAUUGCAGGAAGCAUUUCAAUGUCGCACCCAAGAACCUUGCAUACAACUAAAGUAUAUGCCCUAUGAGCCAGCAUUCCCGUUUUCAACACUUCAGUUUUCUGAGGCUUCUGACCCUGAUUCUGUGUAUUGUUCUUCCCUAGAUGAGUAGAAUGCUGGAGAAGGCGGCUACAUGUCUUAAAACUCUUCAUUUUCCUUCCUGCUAAUUUGCAAGCUAAACAGGUAAAUUCUCCAUCGCCAUAGUGGUUCUCAUAAUAUCUUCUCAAGUUUUCAUUCUCGGUGAACAACUUCAGAAAGAAUUUGAACUCUUCGCUCUCCUCAGCUCCAUCCAUUAACUCCUUUUCACUAGCAUCAUCAUCGUUCAUAGAUCC